ACUUACAUUCUUUUCAACAACAAAAUGAAGGAGUUUUCUUUUCGAGAAGCCAAAGCUCUAAAGCAAAAACAAAGUACCGUGUAAAUCCACCACUAAAACAUCUUGCAUAAGGUAGAGAGCAUCCAGGUGAAGGGAUGGAUCCCAACAUUAUUGAUGCCUGCAUAAUUUGCUAGAUGCACCACCAUAAACUCCCACUCUUUGGAGGAAUUAAAUGUGGUUCAUUUCUGGUUUUAAGUGAGUUGGUUCAGAUAUGAAGCAAUAUUUUCUCGCGAUUCAAUUUAGUCUUUGACAAAAAAAUAAUAUUAAGUCUCUGAUAUUUUAUACAUAUGAUAAAUUAAUCUCUGAAUCAUUAAAAAUAAAGCGCCUAAUUUAUCUUCAGUAUGAAAAAAAAUUAUGAACUAGUUUAAGUAUUACUUUUUAUUGUAAAAUAAAUUAAGUUGCGAGAAACCAAAAUAAGUUUUCACUCAUGAAUUAUUUAUGGUCAAUUUUAAGGAUAAUUUAUAUAAUCUCAAGACCAACAAUAUUUCUAAUCAUACAAUCUGAAGCAUGUGUGGGUGGGAAAAGAAACACUCUUUUCUUUUUGCAAUUAUUCUAACAGGCCCGUUAAUAUCAACACAAUACAAACGUAAAUCAUAUAGACUAUUACUUUUCCUAUCCUAUGGCCUUCUCGUACGUCUUAUGCAAACUAUGAAAAUGCCUUUUGGAUUAUAAAAUCCGGAACAUGAAUGCGUAUUCCGGAAUAUAAAAUCCGGACAACUGCGAAGUAUAAAAGGAACUUCCCCCCUCCCUCCAUUUUUACAGUUUCACUUUCACCAUUCACUCUCUCUCUCUCUCUACAUUUAGAGGAUGCUUUGAAAGAGGUGCACGAUGGGUUUACCGUCGCCGGGGAGCUACUGAGGGUGGCAGAGGUGCUGGGGGUGUAGUUAUUAGGGAUUGAUCGUAUUUUAUUUACUUUUAAUGUUUGAACAUCUUGGAUAAUUUUUGGUGAUGUAACAUUUGGAUAAUUUUUAAUAUUAUGUAAUCUUGGAUAAUUUUUAAUUACGUUUGAUUAAUGUUAUGUUUGCAAAAAUAUAUUUUGUUGAUGAUUAUAACUUCGAUUUACUGUUAGAACAUGUCAGCAACAUGUAGAGCUGUCAAAACGGGCUAGCCUAUAUGGGCCGGCCCGAAAGCCCGAAUAAAACGCAUGGCUUGGGCCUAAAAAUUGCAGCCCGUAUUUUAGCAGGGCUUUUUAGCCCAACCCAAAAAAUCCCGCAACCCGUACGGACUACGGGUAGCCUGGCAGCCCGCGUAAUGGAAAUUACAGCUUUCUUACCGUCAAAAGGAGAGGAAAGAAUGUUCAUGGCUUUCAAUUAUACAUGACUUUCAGACCAUACUUUUAUUAUAUUAUGUAUGCGGUACCUUUAUGUUCAUGGCUCUCAAUUUUUUUUCAAUGUUAAAGGCACCCUUCAUUUCUUUUUCUGUUUUGAUUUUAAUUUUGUUUAUGUUUCGUAACAAUUUUGUGUAAGUUUCGAAAUUGUCAUGUUUUUUUGUGUUUUGUUCGGAACCAUGAAACUUUAAACUGUUUUUCUUUUUUUUUUAAGAUAAAAACUAUCAUAACUUGUACUAUAAUAGAUUGACAUAUACGAUCAAAUACAGUUUUUCUUCUUUACGAGAAGUUAGGACUUUUCAGUGGCCAUGAAAUCAUAAAACUUUCUAAAAUUUGGUUCAACAACUUUAAUCACUUCAUUUAACUUGUUUGUAUUCUUUGACCUCUUAAUUACUAAAAUGAAUCAUCAGUGUCUUGGUUCCUUUUUUUUUUUUUUUUUUUUUUUUACGUUUGUGUUCAUUAAAGGAUUUUUUUUUUUAAAAAGUAAGGCGAGCUGGCUCGGGAGCCUGUAUAGGGCCGGGCUCGGGCUCAAUUAUUCCAGCCCUUAUUUAAAUAGGGAUGUUUAGCCCGGCCUUAAAAAGCCCGUUGCCCGUUCAGAUCGGCCCGAAACGGGUUGGAUAGCCCAUUUUGACAGCUCUAGCGACAUGGUAUGUCUGUUUGGAAGCAAGCAAAAUGCGCCAAAACAGAUGGCUUCUGCCUCUAUAUUGAUGCAUUCCGGAUUAUAAAUUCCAGACAGAUGUAUGAGAUUCCGAUUAUAUAAUCCGGAACCAUCAUUCACCACCCCCUUUUGUUGACUUUCAACUAGGUGAUUUACACCUUUCGGAUUUUAUAAUCCGGAAAUUCUCUAAAUUGUUCAGAUUGUAUAAUCCGGAUCCAUCUAUUCAUAACUUACAUCUUCAUCCAUCAGCAUGAUGAAGUGGCAAAAAUCGCAAAACAUUCCGGAUUGUAUAUUCUGGAAUGGUUUCAGAUUAUAUAAUCCGGACUAGGAAUGUUCUGGGAAAAAAAAUAGGGCGAGGAAAGGCAUGGGGUGGGAAAAGUAAUACUCAAUCAUAUAUAUAGAGCGUCUUCAUUUUAAUCUUUAGACUAAUCGAGAGUUUGAAGCAUAAAGCAAUUAAACACAAACAAAGUUGAGUAGAAAGUUGAAAGCAAAGAAUCAUCGUAUAAUGGCUACUCCUUCUUCCAAAUCUUCCAAAAGAUGGCUUCCUCUUGAAGCUAACCCUGAUGUCAUGAACCAGGUUUCUAUCCCUUUUCAUCCUUCAUUUCAAUCUUCUUCAUUGUUUUUUUUUUUGUUAUCAAUGUUUGAACCAAACAUAUAAUUAUUAACAUAGUAAAUUCAAUACAUACCCAUAUAACGAAUUUUGCAAAAGAAUUAAUUUUUUAUUAUUUAAUUUUGAUGUAGUUGUAUGAUACUGCAGUUAGCAUCAUGCAGCCUUCUGUCUACCGACCCUCUUUCUCUUUGGCCUCUGCACAGCCACCAGGGUCAUCUUAAAACAUUUAGGAAACGCUGUUCUAAUCUUAAAAAUUGGGUCCUGAUAUAUAAAAAGUAUCAAAUUGGCCCCCUAACACCGUGGCAAAAUCGAUGAUCAAAUGAUUAUAAUUAUGAGUGUCCGACAUGUCAGUGUCGUGUGUCUGUGCUAAUAACUCCAGCAAAACAUCAAACUUGUCCAGUAAUUUUGAUUUUGAUAUACAGAAAACAUAAUCAGACACAUCAAUUUUAAGGCCCCUAAUUUUGAGGCCAUGUGUUAAGGGCUUUGUUGCCACUUGCAGAGGGUCGGCCCUGCGCCACAUCUCUUCCACUAGUUUGGAGCCUUCCCUUGUGGAGUUGGGGGUUUGUUCUCUGGUUUCUAUUUUAUGUAGACGGUGGUUCCAAAUUUACUGGGAAAAUAUUGCACACUUUGUGUUUGUUGGAAUGUCAAAACAUAUUAUUUUGAAAAGGAAGGUGUGGGUAGAAACCACUUGGUACUGCUACCACAUUAUGCAGCCCCUCCAGCUUUCAUUUUUCUUCCGUUCAAAGGACUAAUUUUGACGUCUCUGAGAUCUUUGAUAGUCAAAAUGCGUCUGCAGUAGCCAAAAAUUUGAUCUGUAACUGGAUAGAAAAAAAAUAUUGUGGUUUUUCUCCUCUUUGUAGUUAUUCGCCAUGGGUGGAAGAUACCCUUAAGGCUUUGUUUGAGAGUUUGGAGGCGAAGGGAGGGGAGGGCUUUGGGGGGUUAAAAAUAUAUAGAAAAAUUGAUAAAAAAUUCACAUUUUUUGAAAGAACAGUUUUUUACAGAAUGAUAAACUAAUACUUAUGAUUAAUAUACUUUUAAUUUUAAGAAUAUUAUAACAACAUAGAUUGAAUUUGAAAAAUUCAUAUAAUCCCUCCAUAACCCCCCAAAACCCUCCCCCAAUACAAUUUUUGAGUUCCCCCACAUGAGGGGGAUUUUUUAUUAUGAGUAAAAAAUUAACCUCCAAAGCCCUCUCCUCCCAAUGUCUUCUAUUUCUUCCACUUGCUCCUUCCUUUUUUCCAAAACCGUUCCCUCCCCUCCCCUCCAAACUCCCAAACAAAGCCUAAGUUGGUUGUUAGGUUCUAGAUAUUGGUUUAGUCAUUCAAAUUUGGAUCUUAGUCACUCUUUGUGUAUUGCUGUUUAUGUUUGUUUAGGCUUAACUCCUAGAGUUUUUUCUUUUAAGUGUAUGGUACUACAUUGUAAUUGCGACUUUUUCUAUUGAAUGAAUUUGCUUUUAUUGUUAAAAGAAGUUAGCAUCAUGCAUGAAUAAACCCUAUAGUUGUUUUAUUUUCGGUGAGUUGCAGUUCCUUUCCGGUCUUGGUCUUCAAGAGAAUCAAGCAGAGUGCCAUGAUGUGUAUGGAUUAGAUGAUGAGCUUUUGGAAAUGGUUCCAAAGCCAGUUCUUGCCGUGCUUUUUCUAUAUCCCCUUACCACCAAGGUUAUUUUUUCAUAUUAACUUCAUUUAUGUCCCUCCUUAUCUGUGUAUUUUUUUAUUAAUUUUUUAACCAUUUAUAGUUUCUUUUUCAUCUGAUUUUAUGAGUUUUUAUUUGUUAUCAGUCUGAAGAAGAGCGGUUGCAACAGAAUAAUGAAAAAAGGGUAAGUGCACAUAUCUAAUUAUAUAAUAUUUUAAUCUAUUAUUUGUUUUAUUGAAUUCUGUCUAUGAAAUCUGGGUAGCAUAUUUCAUAUAUAAUUGGUUAUUAAGAUGAAACCCUUGAAUAGGAUUUUCGUGUAUUUUUCUGGUGUAGGAAUAUAACAACAAAGUAUAUUUUAUGAAGCAAACUGUGGGUAAUGCUUGUGGUACAAUAGGGCUUCUUCAUGCUCUUGGUAACUUAACUUCUGAAAUCAAGUUUGGUAAGUUUUAACAAUCCAAUUACCUCAUUUUUUUUUGGUGCAUUAACAAUUACAUAUCAUUUAGUUUGUGUCAAUGUUGUUAAAUAGCGGGUGCUAUAGCAUUAUUGCAAGCGGAAUUUGAAGAAUUGCUAUUAUCUGCGAUAUGCUGUAUAGUACAAAAUAUUGUGAAAUAGCGUCUAUAACAGCGCUAUAGCACUGUUGCGUAGCAGAAUUUGAACAAACUGCCAUUUUUUUGUGAUCUUCAAUUGACAACACUGGUUUGUGUUGCUUUUGUUGUUAUCAGUUGAGGAGUCAUUCUUUGAUAAGUUCUUCAAAUCUACUGCAAACUUGGACCCAAUGCAGGUUACGUGUUCCUACCCAAACCUCCUCUAUUUCUUUCUUAUAUUUCGCAAAUGCAAGAAAUUGUGACUUUUGCUCAGAUAAGCUUGAUGUUCAUAUUGGAUUUUCUAUCUUGUGUAUCUUGCAGCGAGCUUUAUUUCUCGAGAAUGACACAGAGAUGGAGGUUGCUCAUUCUGUAGCAGCCACUGCUGGUGAUACAGAGGUAUUUUUUACUGAUUGAAUUUAACUUUUGAGGUAACAGUAAAUUGGAGUGAAAGAUUUUGGUCUGAUGUGAUGUAUUGGGUAAUAUAGAUAUAACUAAUGAUAAAAGGUUCUUUUACGUCGUGUUAUAUUGAAAUUAUGAUCCUAUACAUUUGAAAAAAUCUUGCUCUUUGUGUUACUUUUUUUUUUUUUAAGAAAUGCUCUGUGUUACUUGUUUGUUGUUAUUGUUAUUCUCAUGUUAUGAUAAACUGAUACUUAUGCAGAGACCUUUAUUGAAUGUAGUUUAUAUUUAUAGGUCCUUGUAUGAUGACUGAUGAGUAAUUAUGGUGUUGUGGACUUUUUCCCUUUAGACUAAAGAUUUGAACUUAUCCUCAAAUUUUGUUGUAUGUAACUGAAUUUAUACAAAUUUGUCUCUGAAAAGUUACAUUUUCAGGGCUUCGUUCACCACGUCAUUAGACCCAAUCUUCUCUCUGUUAUCUCGUGCAUCUGUUUCACCAGUUCGACACUAUAGUCGCCACCUUGAUCUUGGCCUUCUUGCAAUCUCUAACUCUCAGAAUUUUUCUUUAGCUAUUCAACCGCAACCAUGACUUAAUAAACUCCCAAAGCCACCCUCUAGUCUAGUUUAGCACAGUCCGUCCAUACCUCGUGACUCCCGAUGAUCUCCCAAUCUAGCACCCGAUCAGUCCUCCAUACCUAAGUCCUCCCAUAUCUUCAUCUACUUCAGAAAACAGCAAAACACAAUCUGGCUCAACGAAUUUUGACGUCUGAACUAACUAUGAGUAUUGGAAAUAAUAAGCCUUUAGCCUUUAUGCCUUUCCUCUAAUUUUUCCUGUGAUUAAUGCUUAAGCACUCCCUUGCAUAAUGUGACCGAGUCUCAAAUAAUUACUUUGAAAAGGAGAAAAAGUUUUGCAUCAAGUACCCAACAACAACAAAGCUUAUCCCACUAAGUGAGGUCAGCUACAUGAAUCAAGCGACACCAUAGUCUUAUGAUUUUUCUAGAUUAUCAUUUCUAAUCCAAUCUUGUUUAGUUGUCAUUUCUAAUCCAAUCUCGUUAGUCUUACCCACUUCCAACACAACAUCCUCAUCUCUGCUACUCUUAAUUUAUUUUUUCCAAAAAAAUUGGUUGGUGGAAUGUUAUUGAUUAAGAUCAUGGUAGAUGCAGAGAAAUUGAAUACUAGUUGGGUAGUGAAUUUUGGGUGGGAGAGACCAUUUGUUAAUAUACUUGGUGAUUUCUAUUUUCCACUAAGAGACUACCACACUUUUGGUACCUACUUACCUUGACCCGAGAUAGGAGGAACGGAUUAGUAAAAACAUUUCUUUUUGUAAUUGCAACUUUCUGAGCUAUUAUACUCAUCAAUCUGUUUUUUUAUCCUGAAGAGGCAAAACUUUGCAGUAAAUGUACUGCAAAACUUUGCAGUACAUAAAACACUGAUAUUAAUAACACUACCAACCAAAAUGAAAACAAAAAUAAAGUUGCUUAUUUCAAUUUUAUUUCCUUUCGUGUAUUGACAAUGUUUUGUUUGAAAUAUUUGUGAUGCAGGCAACAGAUGAUGUCAAUACUCAUUUCAUCUGCUAUGCUUGUGUGGAUGGUAAUUUAUUUUUAUGUACCUCAAUAACAUUUUAUUCUCUGUGGUGUUUAUAAAUAGAGCUAAACAAUAUAUCAAGAUACAAUAGUAGCAACAACAACAAAGUAUGAAACCUCUUAAUCAUAGGAGCUAGCUGUACAAAGCCUAUAUCAAAACAAAUUGGGCUCCUGUACAUAUCUAUAACUAAUUAUGAGCUCUUCUCCCUUCUGCAGUUGCCUACGCAGUGUUGCUAAAUACUGGUUAUAGCAGCGUUAUACAAUAUUUUCUAUUUAGUACAAAAUGUUGCCAAAUAGCAGUUAUAGCUGUGCAAUAGCAUUGAUGCUUAGUGGAGUUUGAAUGAAUUGCUAUUUUCUUCGUUUUACAACUAACAACACUGCCUAAGUUUGUCUGAUUAAUUUCUCGUUGCAAUGUUAUUGUAUGCAGGUGAACUUUAUGAGCUUGAUGGAAGAAAGUCGGCACCAAUAUCACAUGGUCCUUCCUCACCAAGUACUUUGUUGAAGGUAAAUAUCUUAAAAUGUUAAGGCUUUAACUGUAUUGUUCCUGAAAGACAUGUAUUUAAUAAAAGGAUAGAAUUUGAUUUGAUCUGCAAACUCAUAUAAAGAGAAAAGAUACCAUGAUGUUGUUGUCAAGUGGUGCUUUAGGGUUAUGCAUGAAGAAACAAUUGUCAAUGACCAUAAUUCUGUUGAAAAGUUAUUGUUUUUAAUUACUAAAGUAUAUAUAUAUUUAAAUUUUCUGCAGGAUGCUGCUAAAGCCAUCCAGAGCAUGAUUCAGAAGGAUCCGGAUUCUCUGAACUUCAAUGUCAUUGCAAUAUCAAAGAAAUCCAGUGAUGGAUAUUAAGGCAGUCAUUUUAUUUUGGGCUUUUCAGGGUUACUUUUGAUUUUGAAGUAAUUUCUUGAAGUUAUAUGUAGUAUAAUAUCCUGGUAUUCAUGCUGCAUUUUAUUCACUUUAUGUGUCUUCGCUCAAAUUUUUAGUUAUAUUCAGAAAUCUUGUAAGCUGAGCCACUUUGAUUAAAAUUUGAUGCAGUAACAUUUCACGAUGAAGAACAUGAAUGGGAUGUUUGAAGCCAAAUCAUCCAUUUAAAAAGUUAUUUAAUCAUUUUAUCAAAGACGAAUCGUUUUCCUUCAAAGUAAAUCACGAGGAGAAACACAAUAAACUUUUUCGACCAUAGUUAAUUUUUUUAAAAAGAGUAAGAAAUAAAAUGCUUGUUUAAGUGUCACAUUUGUUAAUAUUUGUUCUUCUUUCCCCUUAAACCAAGAAAGUACAAAAGUAGUUUGCUGAUAAAAGUUGGUUCAGUUCAUAAGGAAUUAACUCAUACCCCUAUAUGAGUUUAACUUCUACUAUCAACACGAGGACUUCUUUGAUGAGUAAUUCGUAAUUUCGUAAGUAUCUUUGUUAGCGUUCCCCAAGCUUUGACACCUGCCUCUAUCUGGUUGGCCAUCAGCAUACAACUCACACCAUUUUUUCUACAUAAAAUAUAACGGUAGUAAUUUAGAGUUAUUUUUUAUUCAUUUUGUUGUUUGAUGUCUUUUACCAUUAUUGUUCUUGUGAAUCCCUCCUCCAUGGCUCCACUAUUAUCACCAUUCUGUCAAAUGUUCGAUCACCAUCAUCACCACGACAACCAAACACCUUCAGAACAAAUUUACCAGGAAAACCAAACACCUUCAGAACAAAUUUACUAGGAGCAUCUCUGACAUUUGUUUUUUUUUUUUUUUUGAAGAAUCGCAUCUACGACAUUUUAUUUAAGGUGUUAAUACCUUUUCACCUCUUCUGUUUUUUUUUUUAUUCGAGAGAGUGAUACUUGAGUUAUUAUCCCGUUUUCAAAAUUAUUAGUGAUAUAUUAUAAAAAGGGUAAUCUCAACCAAAAAAAUGAAUAAUUUUGUCUCUAAAUGUGUAGUGAGUCUUCUUCAUAAUAGUUUCUCUAAUGAAAUUAUAAAAUUGUGCAUUUGUUAGUCAAAGUAAUCAUUGAUGAAAACAAAUGCUUCUAUUUUCGAUCAAGAAAUGCUCACAUGUCCUUUCUAUUUUAACCCUCCGCAUGGUGACUCCUUAUGCUUCAACCCUCCAAGAACUCCAGAACCAUGGCAUUAAAGGAAGCAUUUUAACGUAAGAAACUACUUUGACGAAUAGGAAUGAAGACUAUUCUAUAAUUUCUUUAGGUUGAAAGACUAUUAUGAUUACUCAUUAUCCAUUACACAUCCAUAAACAAAACGACUACUUAUCUUAAAAAAAUUAUUAUGAAUUUUUUUAAAAAAUAACAUUCUAACUAAUUCAAUCCGAUUGCAAUAUAAUAAGGGUCAAACCAACUAACAAAUUGGUCGAUUUUCAAUUUCAGGUUUAUACCAAUUUUUAAAACAUUGCAAAAUAUGAAUAAUUAGAAAAUAAAGAAUAAUGUGAUAAUUAUAUAAUAAUAUCUUAAAAACAAUAAACAACUAGCAAGAAUAUAUUUGUUCUUAAAAAAAAAAAAUUGUUGUUUAAUAUAAGUUGGCUAAUCAUAUAAUCAUCUAAUACUCUAAGCCGCCUCAUUGCAUUGCGCAUGUCCUUUUAGCAUAGAAAAACACAAAAACUAAAAACCAGCUGACACAUAGCAACCUAGAGGAUAGAUUGUUCAUGAACUGAAUCCAAUUCAUGGAAAAAUAAUCUUAAAAAUGGUUUACCUAUCUUACGUCCAAACACAAGAUUAUCAAAAUCAUUUUUUAUAAAAAUUCAAUAACUAACACAAAAGAAGUUAAGUAUAUUAAGAAUAUUCAUAAUCUUUCAGUGUGUAAUCAAUUUUUUCCACACAAAUUUUUUUGUUUGCAUAAUCAAUACUCUAAUGGGUACGUUGCCUUAGCAAACUCUUGUUGUUAGGGUUGUUGUUUAAAGUACUCAUAAAAGGAAAUAUUAUUUUAUAGAUAUAACUCACACAUUUGACAAAAUAAUAUAUUCACUAAUUUUGUUUUUCCUAAACAAUGCUAUGCAAAGACACUUUUUAGAAUUGAUGUUAUAACAUGUGUUUGGUUCUAUGGUGCCAAAAUUGAUUUUGUAGAAUAAAUUUUGGUUAAAAGUAAUUUUAAUAAAAAAUUAUUUGUGUUUUGAAUACUUUUAUUUAAAAUGAGUUGAACUAUAAAUUUACGUCAAAAUCAAGUCUAGAAUAAAAAACUAUAAAUCCUAACUUCAAGUAGAAUCAACUCUAGAGUUAAAAUCAAUUCUAUUAAAUAAUAAUUAGCGAAAUGUUAACAAGUUCUCUCGAGGCACUUUUUAAGGACUUUGAAUAGUAAGUUUUUAUGAAAAUUUGUGUAAUCAAUGCAUUGAAAAUUGAAAUAUUUAACUUUUUUGAGAAAUAAUUUCUUAAUUUGGAUUGCUUAAUGAGUGCUCCGGAAACACUCGUUAACAAGACCCUAAUAAUUAAACAUGUCAAAAUCAAUUUUACACCUUUAAAAUUGUUGGUUUGCAAGUGUGAGUUAUAUGUCCCAAAUCGGAUAAAAUAGUAAAUGUUGAAAACCUUAUAAGUAAGAGGACCCAUAAACCCAUUGCCUUAAAGUUUUGGGUAAGAGUGUAGUGUCUCUCUUGCUUGAGUGGUUGUUCUAGCCUCGAUGUGGACGGUCCCCCGAACUUCCCCAGUGACCCAACAGUGAUAUCAGAGCCCCCAUUCGACGAAGGGUGCGACCGAGGCAGCCGGUCGUUGCACAGAAAGCCGCAACGGCGGUACAAGCAGCAAGUAGCUCCUUGUGCAGGAACGGCGAUACAGGUAAAGUAAGAGCGGAAGGACUCACACUUGAGGGGAGUGUUGGUUUGAAAGAGUGAGUUAUAUAUCCCAUAUCGGAUAAAAUAUUGCCUUAAGAUUUUAGGUAAAAAUGUGAUGUCUCUCUUACUUGAGUGGUUGUUCUAACCUCGAUGUGGACGGUAUCCCGAUCUUCUCCGGUAACCCAACAAAAAUUAAUUAUAAUCCCUCUAAGUGAAACCAAGCGUACUCUUAAUACUUCAAAACUUCUGGAAGCACUAUUUUGAGACUCGGGUGUAGUAAAAAGCAUAUAUUUACCUAUCUAUUAAAUUACAUGGUUGAUGUUAGACAACAUCAUGUAAUCAUAUGUAUCUAGAAGCAGCCACAUUGCACAUGUCGUUUGUAGCUUAGAGAAACACAAAUAUUAAAAAACAAGUUUACACAUGACACAUAGCAACAUAGGGGAUGAAUCUCUCGCCACUUGGUGUGGCUAACUAUUAGUAUAUGCAUCAUAUAAUAAGAGGCCGCUUUUAACAAGCCCUCGUGUGCAUGCAUCGUUUAAAAAUUGAUGCUCAAUUCUCAAUGCUUCUAUCUCGGAUUAACUGAGUCAUAUGUUCAAAUCACACAUAUUAAGACAAAUAUAUAAAUGAAGGAGUGAAAAAAAUAGUUUUAAGUGCUCUUGUUAAGAAUUGAUCAAUUCUCACUUAUUUUGGGACACUUUUUUUAUUAAAAAUGACUUAAUUAUUAUGGAACGGAGGGAGUACCUCAAAACUUCUAGAAACUCUUUGGAGACUCAAGUGUAGUGUGUGUAUACGUUUGAUCAACUGCGUUUAAAUUAUUGAAUAAGCCAUACGAAAUUUGUUCUUACUUGGGGAUUAAUUUUUUGCUUCAAAAAUGUCCUUGCUUGCACUCUAAAUCCUUGAAUAAUAGGAGAACAUGGAGAAAAGUCAAGGUCAAAGUUUGAAGUCUACGGUUGAGGAUAAUAUGCAAACCUGCAAUUCAAGGUCUACCAUAAUGUCGUAAGAACCCACGUGCGGUGUCUUUUGGCAGUUGACGCCAUGUCACUAAUUUCUUAAUUAGCUUAGACUAAUCUUGGAUUUUUUUUUUUAAGAAUUAAUCUUGAAUGAUAUUUGAACAACUUUUCCACUAUUAUUUUUACCAAUAAAAAUAAUGAAAAGAAAAAUCGACACAAAAAUUAUCAUUAAAUAGUUGUAUAACUAUUAUUAUUUAUUUGUACAAUAAUUUUGCGAUAACUUUUUAAAACACCUCUCUCACACAUUUUCAUUGUAUUUUAACUCUCUCUUUAUUAUUUUGUCCAAAAAAAAAGAGAUAUUGAAUAAAAAAGUGGUCAUAAAAUUAUUUUUUAUUGGACUUUUUAUUAACAAUUAUGUCCAAAAUCUAUAACGGUGAAAAAUAUUUCAUUUUCUUCUUAAAAAAAAAAUUAAAACAUUUCAUCUUGGUUUGGCUUUGUUUACUACACGUGUCGAUUUUUCUUGUGUUUACUGUUAGUGAACCAAAUUCAUUGGUGACACCAAUGCCCAAUUCAUAAGGGUGAACAAAGUGGGAUCUAUCAUCCAAUUAUGCUACUAUGUAAUAUUUCCAUAUUAAUAUGUUAAAAAUAAAUAUCCACAAAGGUCUAGCAGCGCAACUUGUUGUCUGCUUGCCUCCUAUUCAUGUGUAAGUAAUAUUGAUAGAAAAUAAAUUAAAUUGCAAAACUUAUUUUUGUUAAAAAUAUUUUUGGUCUUUGAGAUACAAUACCUAACCAAACUUCAGGUACUCCGAAGAAUACUCUUCAUCAAGACCUCUUCAAAAUUUUGUUUCAUAGUUGGGUUGAAAAUAGAUUGAGUCAAGUUAGACUUUAUAAUACUUAAAUCUGAUUUAUUAGAUGUCUUAAGAUCUAAGUCUGGUCUAUGACAUGUUAUAGACUUAUUUUUUCAAAUAUAAACUUGACAUUUUCAAAGUUUAUUUCAUAUGAAUAUAUUUAAAUAAGUAAUCAAAUAUAUAUUUAAUUAGACUAACGAACUAGUAAACAUAAGAUUCAAAUUUCUUUCAACCAAUUCAAUUUUUGGGUGCUUUUGUGUAACUCACACAACCUAACAUCCAUCACAUCAAGGGUUUUGUGGUUCCAUUCAUUGAUGCUGAUCUCACUUUGGGUUUGCAACUGUUCAGAGCAUUCUACGACGGUGGCUGAGUUUUGUUUUACAAUCACGCCACCAUCGUCACUUUGUCCACGUCAUCCCUUUAGAUUGGCUUCAGUAUCCUUGACUGAUCAAAAGGGCCUUGUUGAUGUAGUAUUUUUGCAUCAAACAAUUGCAAGUAUUUAUAUCGUCUCCUCAGGGACUAGUGCGAUAUUGCAGACCGUUCGACACCAAUUAUCAUUCUAAGUUAAAAGAUAAGUUGUUUGUUUGUUUUAGUAACUAAAUUGCAAAUGAUAAAAUUGAGAUUAAUAGGGCGUAAAACUUGUUAGGAUUAGAGUUCCUUGAUCGAGCGUCGCACGUAACCUAAUGAUCAUACAUGGAUUCUAGCUUUUCUUUGAUAUUAUCACGUAUCCCUCGACAACAUCAUUCGUGUCCAAACAAUAUUGUGAAAUCAAUUGUAUCAUUCAAUGGUCGAUGUCUCAAACUAUUGAAUGAUUCAAGAGUCGAUCUUAUCGUUCAAUCGAUGAUUUCUCAAUCUAUUAAAUGAUAAGAAAGCUUUAGGCUUGGAUACUCAAGGUGAUUAUCAAAACAUCGAUUCCAUGUCUAGAAACUAUGUUUUGAUAGAUGGUUAUUCUAAACCUAGAUUCAAAAGUAUUUCUCAAUCACAAUUAAAUCAAAGAUAAAGAUUAAAGUGCAAGAAUAACCUCAAUAUCAAUUCAAAUGCUAGAACCAUAUAUUUAUAGAUCAAACGAUUACAUGUUAAACUAUGAUCAAGUACCUCUAAUCCCAACAAAGGAGAUUUAGCUACUCAUUGUCAUGGAAGCCUUGCAAGAAUGAAUUGAAGAAGCAAGAUUCAUUACAACUUGUGAUGUCUCAACAAAGGAUGAAGAAUCCACUCUCUAUCACUCUCACUCUAUAAAGCACAAGCCCUAUCUCUCUCUCUCUAAGAAUAUUACAAGUGAAAACACAGAGAGAAACUAAGUGAAAAACUAUGUAAAAACUACUUUCUCUGAAAUGGUUGAGUGGGCUAUUUAUAGAAUUCUGAGUCUGCCUUCACUCGCCUCGCGAGCUGCUUCAUUCGCCGUGGCGAGUUGAAGUUUCUUCCCCAUUGGGUUUGUGCCACGUCAGCAUUUAGAGGCUAAACCGCCCUUACUCGCCUCGCGAGUCCUUCCAUUCGCCAUGGCGAGUAAGCUCGCCUUCUACUCGCCAUUGCGAGUUGGUGGCGUGUGAUCUUUGUUGCAUUCUGGAAUUGCUCGCCUUUGCUGCUUGCCAUGGCGAGUUGGAGGCGAGUGAUCUCCUUUUUCUGCCUUUUUGUACUUUUCUCGAUUUUCUUCUCUUUGCUUGAUGUCUUGAGUUCGAAUCCUGCACAAAUGGGUGAAGUAAGAUAGAUAAAGCGUAAAAGGGCAAUAAUCACUUAUUUCUCAGCUUUUCCCUUAAUAACUUGCAAAACAAGUAACAAAAGUGCCUAAAAUAUAUCACUUAAAUUACAACUUUCUAGCACUUAUCACUUGUCUUCGUGAUCUGGAUGCCUUUAUGUAUUUUAGGUCAUUUGAUGGUCAUUGAUGCAUGGUGUUGUGGAUUUCAUUGCAUUGAGUUGUUAUUAGUUCAUGGAUCUAUUUUUGUGUUGAUGGUCAGAUUCAUUCAUCGGUUUUCAAGAUUUGAAAUCAAGGUUCGAUUAAGCUCGUCUUUGGUUUGGUGCUUGUGAUCGUUAACACACCACUUUUCUUUUUUUUGCAAUUUGAUUUCGCGCUCAUAUACGAGUUUGCUUGUGCUUGUGGUGGAUGCUCGUUUUCUUAAAAUCAUGUUUACUAUCCGUUAGGGUUGUCUGUUUAUUACAUUUUAGGGUUGGUUCCACUUUUGUAUAUUUUGACAUUGUCUUCUUUUUCUUUUCUUUUUUUGACAAUAUUUUGGCAUCGUCUGUAUUACUCGUUAAGGCUGACUUACAUUUUUUCUUUGAUUUACUAUAUCAUGUUUUUGCUCUCCAAUCUUGUAUUUCCUUUCUUUAUUUUAGUCUACUUUUUUUUUGCUUAAAAAAAAACUUGCUAGUAUAACCCCUCGAAAUUGAACCUCUAAUUUUCUAGUCUCUAUCCCAACACAAAAAGUUCCCCAGUCAUUGGACUGAGAACUAACAUACGGUGACGACAUUGUAGGGACAUUGUGCAACAAAUUCUUGAUCGAACAAUGACUUCAUUUAAACUUGUUAUUUGUGGUUCAAACAUAUAAAGUGUUUGUAAUUGACUAGUCUAGUGGUUUUUUAUUGUGGUACCAAGGCAGUUUAGCAAGUGUUUUAGAUGGAAUAGUAAUGGAACUCAUAGUAGAUAUUGUUGAAUUGUUGAAGGGUUCCUCAAUGGCUGAUAGGCUGAAAUGACAUAUAUGGUUCCUAUAAUUGAGUUCGGUGUUAGAUUAUGUGGGAUGAUCGUUCAUCUUCUGGUUAAUUGUUAGCUCAAUGGUGUGUAACAUUUAUGAUUGAGAAACGAAUAUAAUUUGGUUAGUUGGAUGAUUAUAUUUAAUAACUAAAACUUAUUUGUUUUGAAAAAUAUAAUAGGGUUUUUGAGGUAGGAUGUGGUCCUUAAUCUAGGGUGGUUGAGGGUUGGUCUCAUUCUUAACAUCGGGGGAAUGAAGAAGUGCAAGGUUCGACGAGGGGUUAGGGGUUGAAGGCAGCACAUCAUAGAAAAGAUGCAAGGCUUGAUAUUUUAACAAUGGCACCGAGACAUAGAAGAUUGAGAAAAGGAGAAAUGUGAUUAGAGCAUGAAAUAAAUAAAUAAAUGAAGAAAUGAGAAAAGAAAAGGAACAUAGGAAAAAGUUUAAAUUGAGGUGAUUUGAUGGUGAAUAGUAUAUUCAGUUUGGUUUCAGGUUAAUCAAAUUUGAAUUUCCUUGACUUAAUUAAUACCCAACCAAUGAUCUCAGGUUGGCUAUUUUAGGAUAUUAACUAUUCAUGCAAGCCUACCCAAAUUUUCUAACUUGUGUGAGAUUUGUGAAAUUGAAGGGUCAAUUAACUUCUUUUUUGCGGGCUUUGUGGAAUUGUGGUUGGGUCGAGUGUUUUAAGCGAGUGUGGUUUCUGAUAAUAACGUGUCAAUGGCUGAAAUGAUUAACAAUGAUUUAGGUAUCAAAGGUGGUGGAUUGGAGAAGCUUAGGUGAUAUGUGUGGUGAGGAAUCUAUAUUGUAAAGGGAGUUUAUCAUCUGCUUAUGGAUGACAAUCUUGAAGGCACAUAUUCAUUUUGCAAAAUCAUUUAGAGUUAUGAGGUGGUUUUGUUGAAAAUGUCAAAUCUUUCUUAGACUUUUUAAUGAUCAACUGUCCCUGAAAAUUAAUAUUGUUCAGACAUAGUAUUUAAAAUUUAGAUUCACUUUUUUUGUUUUGGGGUGCGAAUGUGACGAAUCAUCUUUUUAUUUAGUGUAUUUGAUUGUCCACUAAUUACAAAUAUAUGAUAUUCUUUACCUUUCAUAUUAGGCAGUUCAUUUGAGUUCCAUACGGAUAUUAUAAAAUGGAUAAAUAAUUUGAGAUUAAGAAAAUAGGGUUAAUUAAGUAAAUGAUCUUUAUAAAAAGUCAUAAUUUUGUUUUUAGUCCAUACAAAAUAAAAUCACACUUUUUAGUGCAUAUAAAUUUUUUCAUCCACAUUUUUAGUCCGUAUAAAAUUUUUCUAUCAUCAUUUUUCGUCCCUGUCAAAAAUUUUCAUCAAUAUUUUUUAUCCCUAAAAUGUUUAAGGAAAAUGUCAUAGGGACUAAAAAAUGUGAUUUUAUUUUGUAUGGACUAAAAACAAAACUGUGAAUAUUUAUACGGACUAAAAACAUAAUUAACCCAAGAAAAUAAUAGAAAAUAGGCAAAAUUACACUUUUAGUCCCUUAACUUAAUUUCAGGUAAUAGUUUGGUCCUUUAUCUGUUUUUCAUUUCAAUUUUGUCCUUUUUGUCCAUUUUCAUAUACAUUUUCAAACUUCAAAUCUAAUAUUCUUAUGCAAACAUAGACGAGGAUCAUAGAUUUGAAGACUGGAAGACCAUAAGAAAAUAAAAUCAUGAAUUUUAAGCUUAAAAAUAUAUAUGAAAAUGGACAAAAAUGAUCAAAUUGAAAUGAAAAAAAGAUAAAGAACCAAACUGUUAUCUAAAAUUAAGUUAAUGGACUAAAAGUGAAAUUUUGUCUAAAAAAUAACCCAAAAACAAGGGCUGAGGGAGUAUAUGGUGUUAGUUUGUCUUGUCAUUAAUUAAGAUUAAUUAUAAGAGCAUAAUUAUCGGUGCUGGUAUAACAGAGCCAAAUGCAAUCUUGUCAGUGUAGUAUGAAUAAUUGACAUUUCUACCCUAUCUUUACUUUUUCACGGUGGCUCUGCAUUACUACGGUGUCUUUACCUUCCAUUCUUUACUUUUGCUCACUUUUAUUAUUUUUUAAUAAUAGGUGUGUGUUUUCAUUAUUACUUUUGGGACAAUGUUAACCGAUGCGGGGGCAUUGGUUAAGUAGUUAAAAGAGGUAAAAUUUUAUUAAAAAGUGAUGCAAUAAUUAGUUAGUCAAAAGUAACGGUUUAUAUUUCUAAGAUAAGAUUUUGGAUUCCUUAACCAAGAUAAUUUUCCAAGACCCUUACUUUUGAGGUAUAUUGUAAGAUUAGUGGGACCCAUUUAAGAGUUUUAAAAGAGUAGUAUGAAUAUUUAAAAAAUGUAGUUGAGUAGUUAAAAUAAUUGAGAAGUGGGAAGUAAUAUAAUAUAUUAUGUAAGACCCAUUUAUACUAUCCAUAUAGGUGACAUGGAAGUGGAUGCUCUUAAUUGACACCCUUUUUUUGUACCAUCCUUGUACACCUCCACGUGGUGCUAGGAAGAAGAGAGAGAGAGAGAGAAAGAGACAAACUUAAUGAGUGUGUAGGGUCACGUCGCCACAUGUCACUUUUGUGUGUAGAGGUACAAAGGAUAUAUGUCACAUGGCGUGGUUAACCUAUCAUGCUCUUAAUAAAAGAGGACACCCCACAACGCAUGCUCGACAUUUUGAUGGUAAGGUGGUUCGUGAAAAGUUUAUUAUUAUUUGAUUAGCGUGCAUUUGGGUUAUCUGAAAAACAUGAAAUAAUGUUUUUCAUGAAUCAUGAUUCAUGGAUGCGUUGUUAAUGAAUUGUUUGAUCAUAUCAAGCUAUUGUCUUGGUGUUGACGUAAAUCAAAAAUCAAAAACUUCAAUUUUCAUUUUAAAUUAAAGGAUCAUGCUAACUUGUACAUUUAUGACACAUGUUAAAUAUUUUAUAAAUGGUAAAUAUUUAUUACAAAAUUUUAAUUUUUAAUCUCUAAAAUAAUAAAUUAACACAAUUUUUUAGACAAAAUUUUCAUUUAAGUUCCUAAAUAUGUGUCCUUAUGACAUAAGUUAGCAUUUCUCAAAAUUAAAUGAGUUCCUCUUGAAUGUUUUAACAUUCCUAAUCAUUAAAUUGCUAAUCUUUGUAUUUGUUAAUGUGUUGUGGGGUUUGCUAAACUCGAUAUAGAGUUUGAUAUUUAGUUUUGACAGUUUUGGAUUUUCUUUGCUAAAUAAGUUAAACUUGGCUUGUCUUGUCCUUAUCUUUUGUUACAAUAAUGGUGGCGUUAUUUUGUUUGCAUGCAUAUUUCAUUGCAGAUUUUUUGGGUUAUACUAUACUUCUCACUAAAAAUAACAAUUGAUAUAAUUGAUCAUGGCGAUGAACUCAUCAAAAUUAGAAGGGUCGUUUCUCAUUUUCUAACCCAAUUCUUUACACAGUUUUGGAUCAUUACAUUACCAAUUAGGAAAUAGAAAAGCCAAGGUGGGUCUCAUCUCAUUUAUCACAAUUAACACAUUCAUAACUUUGAUCAAACAAAUAAGAAUUUCUAUAUUCACAAAGUUACAUCGCAUAACCCCACUUCAUUCACUAUCCUUUAAACAUCAUUAUUUCAUUUCUCAUUUUUUCAAUUUUUGUUUUUCUCCCGCAUUUUUGUCUCCCUCAUGAAUCACCAUUUUGCUACAUUUUCAUCCUUUUCCUUGGUUCCAAAAUUGUGUAGGCACAAAAGAAGGAAUAGUUGCAUAGUGCUAUACACAGUACACACAUGUCUUCGGAUAAUUACAAAUUGCAUUGAAGAAACACAACACAACAUUAACCUAAACAUUUUUUGUUCCUAGUACGGUAGAACCGUAUAUUAAGAAACCAAUAACUGUCCUCCACGUGUACAUUGUUGUGCCACUUGACUUCCCACUUGUCCUGUUUUUAAUCCACUCUGAGCUGUCAUUACUUUCUUCCUCUUCGCCGGAGAAUUACUUUCCGAUGACGAAGAGCGUUCCGGCGAAGAACGUUUUGAAGCUAUUCUAACCGGGUCGGGUUCACCGGAGUUAACCCGAAGUGGAAAAUUCAACAAAGCUCUUGACCCUCUCAUCCUAUACGCAGCUCUAUCAUAAGCCAAAGCCGCAUCCUCAGCGGUUUCAAAUGUUCCAAGCCAAACUCUAGCUCCGUUCUUCGCCGGAUCACGAAUCUCCGCCGCAAAUUUCCCCCACGGCCGUUGUCUCACACCGCGGUAGUGUUUUCCUUUCACCGGAGCAGCUUUUGGCCCCUCAGGAACCACUUGCUCCGCUGUUGAAGCUACCGGGAGGACAUUCUCCACCGGCAUAACAUCCGGCUCCGGUUUCACCGUCAUUUCUAACGGAAAAACCGAUGAGACACUUUCGGGUGACCCGACUUCGAGAGACGGGACCCACCCAACAUUUACGGCAUCGCGGAGGACGCCGUAAAGUACCAUAUCUUCAGAAUCAUCUUCUUUGAGUGGUAGUUCACCCCAAUUGUCACUUAAACAUGGGUAUAAGCUGCUGAAACUGGAGCUCCGAGAGAAAACUCGGGUAUUACCCGAAACAUUUGUUGGAGCACCGAAUAUAAAUUCGGAUUCUCCUAACAAGUGGCGGCGAAUAGAGUCUAAAAGGGCAAGAUCGGAAUCAAAAUUACUAUUUCCGUACAUGUUGUGGCCUUUGGUAAAGUUUUUGUGUUGUAAUUUGCUAUGGAGAUUGGAGAGUGUGGAAGGAAUGAAAUUUUCGUUUUGUGAUGUUUUUUAGAGAGAGGGUUGAAUUGAAUAUUCGAAGUUGAAAUGUUGAGAAUAAGUGAGGUAUUUAUAGGAAUGUAGGUUCAUGAAUUUGGAUAUAAGGUAUUGAAUUUUUGGAUUUGAUAUUUUAUUAAAGUCUAAAUGGGGAUGGUGACUAUUAUUUUAUUGGGAAACCAUAAUGAAUUACAUGGACUAACUAAGGUUCGAUGAAGUUUCGCAUGUGUUAAAAGUUGCCCAAGUGGGAGAGGAUUUUCAUCACGUGGUUAAUUUAUCUUGCUUUUCUCAUUUUAUAAAAUUAAUUUUCUUGUCCAUUUUCCGCAAUGGAAGUGUAUAUGUGUGACGUCAUUCAUCGUUACAACUUGCUGCUCUCUUUGUCAUCUUUCUUGUCCAACAAUUGUCCCUUUCAAUGUCUCCAAAUAAUCUUUCUUUUUGUUGGUAUUUAUCGAUAAUUUUGUCCACUCAAAUUUAUUAAAACAAUACAUCUCCGUUACUAUAAUUUUGAUGUGUAAAUGCAUGACCCCUAAAAAACAAAAGUGUAAAGGCAUGACUAAUGUCAUCAAUUUUCUGAAUAUAUACAAUUAUAUAUUUAUAUUAUAUAUAUCAUUAAUGAAAAGUCAAUUUACUUGAGUUUGUUUGUUAGUCAUGAAUUGAGAAUUUAGAGCAUAUUUUUCUUAAGAUUUUGAUUUCGAUUCUCCCAGAUAUUAUGAGUUAAAGAGUUGAUAGGGGUAAUAUAGAAAAUGUGAAUGUGGACUUUAAUAAAUAAGAGAAGACCAAGUGAAAAAUGCAUGAAAAUUAUGAUGUCAUAAUCAUCUUCUUUUUUAUCUGAACUCUCUUUCUUUAGAUUCUCUUUAAUUCUUCCUUCUUUAUUGGACUCAUUCAAGUUUAUGCAUUAGCUAUCAAACUUAUUUUACUUCAUCAAUUCAAUAAAACCAUUUAAGGAUUCUACUCGGUUUUAAGGUCUUACACCAGAUGUCGAUGAUUAGCAAAUGCAAGAUGAACUACAACAUAAGAACCCAAAAUUUUAAGAAGGCCCUAGUUAAUUGUGUGUCUAUAGAAAGAUAUGAUGGGAUAAAUUCUAUUUAUAUUUUCCAAUAUUAUUUCUCCUAUAAUACAAUCGUUUCUAUUUCAAUGUGAUUUGGACAAUAUGAUAAAAUCGUAAAUACAAUAGUUUAAAUGAAUGGUGUGACGGGAUAUGUACAACAAAAUAUAGCAUUCCUUCUAUAUAUCGUAUAGAGUUAUUUACUUCUAAACUAUAUUUAUGGACAUCUCAAUUUCCUUUAUAAAAUUGAGAGGAUUUUAUUCUUAACUAAGGUUGAAAAUAGGCUAUAUCGAUAUAGAUUUUGUAAGUUAUAAGUCUCACUUAAUCAUUAAAUGUUAAAGUUUGACCUCCUACCCGGAACUUAUGUUAGAGCCUAAGUGUGAUUUUUUGUAAGUCUUGUAUAAGACAUGUUAGUUAUUUAAAGACCUAAUUCAUAUUAACAUCUUUAAGUAAGUAUUUGACAUAAAAUUAAGUCAACUUAAAAAGCUAAUAUCUCAAUGAGAUUAAGUUCUAUUUUAAAAUUUAACAUGAGAUUUCGGGGCUAUGACUUUAUUUUAGUCUUUUUUUAUUUAGGAAUUUGUAUAUGACAACUUAUUUUAAUUAUAUUUUGUAAUAAUAUAUUUAAAUAUGCCCAUAAUUUUUUUUUUGAAGAAGAAAAAAUGAAAUAUAUUAACAACGGCCGCGAAUCCCCUAAAGCAUAAGAUGUGCUCAAGAGGUCGCCCCAAAAAACAAGUUGUCACUGUACAAAGAAUGAAACAAAAGUUAGUCAAUACCCAAACAAAGUAACGGGUCUGACCACCACCUUUGAGUACCUAAUGCAAAAGAAAUGUUAUUGGCUUUUAGCCACCACAACGAAUUAAACUUAACCUUUUCCAACAACUGUAUCGUGGAAUUUUGAACAUUAUUGAAAAGUCUGUUAUUCCGUUCCGUCCAUAGAAUCCACACUCCAAGUAACCAAAGAAGCUGCAUAAAAGAUCUUCGUAUCCUUGAAUAUCCUAAAGCAUAAGUAAACUGCAGAAAAUGGUCACUAACAGAAUACGGAUCAGCUCCAGAGACACCUAGUCAAUGUCGUAUAUGUUGCCAUAAAGCUCCAAAAGUAUUGUAAUGAAAGAACAAAUGAGGAGCCGUUUCAUCGUUUCCACACCCCGUGACAUAGUACUUAGCCGUAGGGUGGAUAAUGCCCCGCCUUAGCAGAUUGUUUCUUGUUGGUAGCCUGUCCCGCAAUAGUCGCCACGCUAGGAUAGAGACCUUCGCAGGUACAUGUUUAUGCCAUACAAGCUCUCGAAUGUCAUCAUCUAUCUGUUGCACCUGGUGUGCUAGAAUAUGAUAUGCCCCGCGCACAGUAUACCCACUCGAAGUGUCAGGAAGCCACUGCCACCUGUCAGAAACAUCAGUCUGCACAACAAAAUCAUCAAGUAAACGGCGACACUCGCCUAUCAUCUGCUCCUCCCAAUCCCACAAACGCCUCCGACAACCCCACACAGCACCCCCUUCCUCCCACCCAAGAGAGAACAUCUCGGCCACUGUGCUCGACUUAUAGAUUGAUAAAUCAAACAGGCGACUAAAACGCCUACACAAUGGAACAUCACCUAACCACCUAUCCUGCCAAAAUAGAGUAUCAGUCCCUGACCCUACCCAACUCGCCACCCUAUCUGCAAACCAACUCCCUCCUACAUUUCCUACACCAUCCUUAAUUUUCGCUAACUCUCUCCACCAAGUAGAAACACUCCGGCCCCCAACCUCCAACCGCCCAGCCUCCUCACCAUAAAUAUGCCCAUAAUUAAUAUAAGUUAAUAAAAACUUACCAUUAAAAGUAAUUAAACAACGAUCUAAGUUGUAACGAUCCUCUUAAUAUCUUAAAAUAAUUGUGAAAAUUAAUUUUCAAUGAAUUGAUUUUUUAUAAUUGAUCCUCAUAAAAAGUGAAUUGAAUACUAAGUUAUUUAUGUUUAAAUAUAUUUAGAUAAAAGUGAAUUCAACAUUAAAUUCAAGAUAAAAAUUAAUUGUAAUAGUCAAAAGUUAUAAAUUUUAUCUUCAUGUAGAACAAUUCUAUAAACAAAAUCAAUUAUACUUUAAAAUAUGUCAAAAUCAACUAUACUCUUUUAAAAUCAAUUUAACCAUUUCAAAAUUGAAACCAAACUUAUUUAGUUAAGUGUAGUAGAACAUUAAAUAAACAAAGGGAAAGGGAAAUGGGGCGACGAAAUUGGAGAAUAGGACUAUGAGAACGACAUUUAUCAAGCAAAACGGAUACAAAGAUUGUGGACACAUUUGCAAGUUUGCAAUGGAUAAGUAUCUUUCAAAUUCAAUAGGCCCCCACAAUGCUCACAAUUUGCAUUUAUGCUUUAUGCUUUAUACUGCCUUACCCAUGGAUUCCCACGAAUUGCAAUUCGACAAACAAAAACUUACCUUUUGAUUUCUUGUCAUCAUUUGCUGUUAACAACACUAUGCAAAUAUGUAUGAUCAAUUUAGUAGCCAAAUUGACCAUUAUUUUAUUCCAUAAUUAGGUGUCGACACUGACUAAAAACAGCUAUAAUCUUAUGCAGUUGCAUAUUGAUGUGAACGGGGUUGAGUUGAGUUUAGUUGCUUGCUAUGGCCGCAUAACUUGGACGUAAAUGAGUGUAGGUAGAUUCUCAACCUUUUUAUUUUCAAAUUUUAUAAAAUACACAAUUAUUAAACUAAAUAGUUGAAUGAAUAUUUUAGGUAAGUUAAUUGUCUAAUCGAUUCAUAGUAGUAUUAACAUUUACCUUUUUUUUGACAUGGUUCAAAGUCCUUGAUGCACCAUCCCAUAGAAAGCUUCUUGCUAUUUUGUUAAGCUAGUUGCACGCAUUAGUAGAGAUAUGAUGGAGUUGCAUCUUCUUAUAUAUUAAAGUUAAUACAGAAGUAUAUUUUAGCCCUAAUUUUAACCUAAACCUAUUGCAUAAAUUUACUAUUUUAACCCUGAUGUUAAAUUCCUUGUUUAACCUUAUUGAAUUUCCCCCCUUCUCAAUUUCUCGAUACAUCUUCUUAUCUUCUUAUAUAUUAAAGUUAACACAUAAACAUAUUUUAGCCCUAAUUUUAACCUAAACCUAUUACAUAAAUUUACUAUUUUAACCCUGAUGCUAAAUUCCUUUGUUUAACCUUAUUGAAUUUUCCUCCUUCUCAAUUUCUCGAUACAUCUUCUUAUCUUCUUAUAUAUUAAAGUUAACACAGAAGCAUAUUUUAGCCCUAAUUUUAACCUAAAUCUAUUGCAUAAAUUUACUAUUUUAACCCUGAUGCUAAAUUCCUUUGUUUAACCUUAUUGAAUUUUCCCCCUUCUCAAUUUCUCGAUACAUCUUCUUAUAUAUUAAAGUUAACACAGAAGCAUAUUUUAGCCCUAAUUUUAACCUAAACCUAUUGCAUAAAUUUACUAUUUUAACCCUGAUGCUAAAUUCAUUUGUUUAACCUUAUUGAAUUUUCCCCUUUCUCAAUUUCUCGAUACAUCUUAUAUAUUAAAGUUAACACAGAAGCAUAUUUUAGCCCUAAUUUUAACCUAAACCUAUUGCAUAAAUUUACUAUUUUAACGCUGAUGCUAAAUUCCCUUCUUAUAUAUAUGUUCUUAUCUUCUUAUAUAUCUUCUUAUAUAUUAAAGUUAACCCGUAAGCCCUAAUUUUAACCUAAACCCUAUUGAAUAAUUUUACUGUUUUAACCCUAAUGCUCACACCUAAUCUCCUAUUUUCAUGAACAACCCUAAUGCUCACACUUAAUCUUCUUAUAUAUUAAAGUUAAUGUAACGUCCACUUUCGUUUAAUUGUUUAAUUAAUUGAGUUUAGGCUAUUAUAUUAUAUUUAUAUAAUAUAUGCAUGAUUUUGGUAUGUUUUGAUGAUUUGCGAUGAUUUAGAUGAUUUGAUUGAUAAUGUGAUAAGUUAUGAGUUGAAGGUUUUGAUAAGGAUAUGAGACUUAUUUUAUUGUUAAAUAAAAUAAAGAUUUGAAAAUAAUAUAAAAUAUUUAGUUAAGGGUUGUUUUGAGAUUUUAGAGAGUUUUGGGGGAGAAAGUGAGAUAAGAUAAGAUAUUAGGAAGAGAUAUAAAUAGGGGAAGACCUAAUUGUUAGAAAAACUAUUGUACGUGAAAACUUUUGGAAAAUGGAGAAAAAGCUUAGAAGGGAGAAGAUCAAAGAGAGAGCUGCGAUUUCUUCAUAACCAGGUAAGGGUGAGACUAAUAACUCAGUAAUGUUAAUUGAUUGUAAUUCUGAUGAUUAGUUAGCAAGCUUUAGGAUUGAAUUGGAGAAAACGAAAACUAGGUCAAAUCCCUAGAAUUGAUGAUCAAACGGUAGGAAUUGGUUAAAUUGAUGUGGAAAGUGCUCCUGGACCGGAGAUAAUGUUUAGGACGAACUUUGGAAUCAACGUUAGGCUUAGAACCAUGUGAAUCGUUGAAUUUUUGUGAAAAUAGCAAGUCUGGCCGUAGCGACAUUCAUCGCUCGCCACAACGAGCUAUGAGUCUCGCCUCGCGAGUGAUGAACAUUCAUCGCUCGCCUCGCGAACCCUUUUCCCCCGCCUCCCGAACCCUUUUCCCUCGCCUCGCGAGUUGCACAAUGCAGCUCGCCAUAGCGAGCAACCUUACUCGCCAUAACGAGUUAGGGCAGAGAGCAUGUAAGAUUUUGCAAUUUUGACAUUUUAGUUGGACCUUGAGUGCCUGAACAUACCUAGUAAUGAUUAGGAGUGAAUGUAGGACAAGAUUGAACCUAGAACAACAUUAGUUGGGAAGUUCGCUUGUACUCGCCAUGGCGAGUAGAUACUCUCGCCUCGCGAGCACUUCCAGAUUGGAGUGCAUUGAGUGCUUGUGCGAUCUGUGUCGCACGUUUUGAUCAAGAGUGAACCCCUGAUUGGUAAUGAAACCUAAUGAUGACGUUUAAUGCAAUCUGUAAGGCCGUUUAAGAUAUGUUGUUAUUAAUUGAGUAUGAGAUAAUGUAUUAUGCAUUAUGUAAGAUAUGAAUGAAUAAUUAUGAUGCUAUUGAAUUGCAAUUGAUAUAUUGAUAUCAUCCGUUAUUGUGACUUGACUAUGUUGCUGCGGUUAUUUAACUAAGUGCAUAAUGUCUAUAUAUGAUGAAUAAGAUGACGUUUAGCUCCAAAUUAUUGGAUGCAUAUUGAUAUGAUGAUUACGAUGUUUUGUUGAUAGAGUCCAUGCAUUAGCAUUCAUUGAGCUUAGUCCUCACCAUGAUAGGAGCUUUGUCUUCCGCACGAUUAUUAGGAGCUUUGUCCUCCGCACGUUUAAAGUAUAUUAAUACUUAUGAUGACGAUUGGUACCACAUGCAUAUAAGGAGUCUAAGAGCAUUGUCGCAUUGUCGUGUCUAAGAUGUUAUGUUGUUGAUGAUGAUUGAAUAUGUGAUUACGUGAUAAUUGUUUAUCAAAUAUGCAAAGUUGUUUAAGAUUGAUAUGAUGUUAAUUAUGAUUCAAAUUACUUUGAUUAAUAUUAAUUUGUUAUGAAAUCUCACCCCUUCUGCUUGAAAAUGUUGCCCUUCGUAUGGGUAACUUGCAGGUGAUCGUGCUUAGUGUGCAGUUGCCGUCGUGAGUGGCCUUGCCUUCACUGUGUCAUCUAGGUCGCUCUGAUACGUAACGGGAUGGGGCUAUAUGUUAUGCAUGCUUCGUUCUAUUACGUGAAUAAUAUGCUAUUUGUGAUAUUGAACUAAACCUUUUGAGAUUAUAUUGAUGGGGCCUGCGUGCCAAAACGUUUUAUGGAUUAUAAUAUAAUUUCCGCUGCAAUGUUUAAGUUAUUUGGUUAAAUUGUUAUUUAACUGUUUUGGAUUAUGUUAAAUGUGAUAUCCCGUUGUUUAUGAUGUUUACUCUGAUAAAUGUUUAGAAAUUUUUAUGUUGGGAAAACGGGGUGUUACAGUUAACCCGUAAGCCCUAAUUUUAACCUAAACCCUAUUGCAUAAUUUUACUGUUUUAACCCUAAUGCUCACACAUAAUCUCCUAUUUUCAUGAACAACCCUAAUGCUCACACCUAAUCUCCUAUUUUCAUGAACAAAGCAAAUCGGCAUCGCUUUAUUUCCCCUAUUUCUUCAAAACAAAUCGCCCUAUUUCUUCAACAAAAUAAAUCGCCAUAUUGGAAUAAAAGGGUUUUGAAAGAUUAUAGCAAUAUUUUUUUUUUGUUAAUAUUACAAACAGGUGGAAGAAACAUUUCAACAAACAGUUAAAGGGUAUCAUUUACGCUAAAUGUCAAAUAUUCGAUAAAAGGAAAAUUAUUUAAAUAAAAUAUUUUACAUGUUGAGGUUAAGAAUGAGCUAUUUUUAGGUACAUAAUAUAACAUUAACAUAUAAUUUUUACAAAAUAAUGAAGUAACAUUUUGUCAAAAAAAAAAAAAAAAAGAUGAAGUAACAUACCAAUAAUAUAACAUUGACAUAUAAUUUUAACAAAAGAAUGAAGUAAGACACGAUCGAUAAAAAUUAAUAUUUUUAAGGUGAAUAAGUGUGGUGUCUGAGGUUCGAAUUUCAGCAUCUGCAUAUAUUUGGGACCACAUGUUUUAUUCUCUUUGAUAUGCAUUGAGAUUUGUUUUUGUCUACUAUAUCUACAAUGUAUAUGACCCGUACGGCAGCACGGAUGGAAAGUCUAGUUGUAUAUACUAAAAUAGCCGUAGUAACAAGUUUUAACCUAACAAGCCCUACCGACUUUAUGAGUAUACACAUCAAUGAAAAUCAAUGAUUUCUCGUAAGUUGAUUUCUCAUAACAUAGUGUUAGCUUGAUGAAAAAUCAAUGAAAAUAUGUUGUCAAGUUGAUUUUUCGUCAAACAAACAACUAAGAAAAACCACAACAAUUUGGCAAGUUAUUUCUUGCUACACAUAACUCCUUUUGACGAAAACUAGUGACAAACUUGUAAAUCUCAUUUCUUGCAAAACUUGAACUCAUAAUUUUUUUUUAUGAGUAUAAGAUCACCACACAACUCGUUAUAUUUAUAUAAUCUACUUAUUAGACAUUGUUGUUAGAAGUGGUACGUAGAUUUUAGACAAAAUUACUUUCGCAAUUUCUUAACCUAUAAUUUCUAGUUUUAGAUUAACUAGUAAUUUAUCGUUUAUUUUCUAAAGUAGUCCUUUGUGAUAUAAACAUUAACUCUGUACUGUUUAUAUGUCUAUUACCUAGCACAAUCACGCAACAAAGCAAUAUCUCACUAAGUGAGGUUGACUAUCUCCUAACACGGUCAUCAUUUUUAUUAAAAGAACAGUAGGGUUCUUUUCAAAACUUGGUAUUGCUAAUUUGGAGAUAUGUAAGCAUUGACGAGUAUUGCCAUAGAAAACUAGAAUUUUAGAAAUUAUAGAUAAGAAAUCGUGAUUAACAAGCAACUUACCAGCAUUUUUGGCUAAAACUACAAGAGUUCUAUUCAACAAAAAAAAAUCAAGAGUAAUUUAUCCAAGUUUUAUAUCGAACAAAAAAUUGUAAACAGAAAUACAGUCCACGUAACAUAACUAACAUAAGCACAGCAAAGCCCUUGAAGCUGACCAUUGACCGUAACAAAGUGAGACAUUUGACUUUGACUUGAAAAAUUCUCAAUUAAAAUAUUAUUGUCAAGCAUAUACUUUUUUAAUUACAAAUUAGUCACUACGUGCCAACUACCAACUCGUGCGGAUCACCGCAAUCUUUGAGUAUUCCUCUUUUUUCUCUGCUGUAUAUAAAAAUUGAUAUGAAACACAUACACUAUUUGACGUAUUUCGAUAUCCGACGUUGGUACAAUACCAACAUAUAUAAUUACAUUAAAUUAUUUAAUUUUUUAAGUUAUUAUCAAUGUUAAUAUAUCAGUGUUUGAAAUCUGUGUCUGUAUUUGAGUUUCACAUAUCUACACUAAAAAAACAAAUUAGUUUGAACAUGAGAGGCCCACAAUGGAUUAACCUUUUCUUUUACCUGAUGAACUUUGAAAUUGAAAACAGACAAAAAAAUAAAAAACUAAAAAUGUUCACGUGCGUGCUGAAAGCGAAUCAUAUUAGCAAAUUAGCAAUUGAAUUCCUAAUUUGAUUGAAUCAUGAAAAAUAUAAUAUCUUAAGUCUGCAUAGUUAUUAAUUUAAGAGCAAGUUGUUGAAUAUUCCAACUAAACAGUUUGGCCAUAUCUUUGCAAAGUUACGUAAAAUAUUUUCAUUCAAACAAGUUGAAAUUCUUUUCAAUAUAAAAAUCUAUCUUUAGAUCAAGUUGCUUAUCUUUUAAUAAUUUAUGUUUUCGUCAGGACCCUCUCUUUGGAACUGUGUUUUGAAAGCUAAAUAAUUGAGGGGAUGCAUGUGUUUUUCUCCAAUAGUAGAACAUAUUUCAAAGUAAUUACAUCAGAAUUAAUAAUGCAAUUCUCUAAUGGUCAAAUAAACAAUAUUUUAAAUCUAGCUAUGAUUGAACUAUGUAACAAACUAAAUUCAUUAUUGAUUCAGCUCUGGAACUAAUCUGUAAAUAUUCUUGAUUUCUUUCUUAAAUUCUUCAAUUCACAAAAAAAAAAACUCACAAUAAAAAUUUAAAAAGUCGAAACUAAGAGUUGGUUAUAACAACAAAGAAACUCAAACGCAUAAAUAAUGAUUUCUUUCUUAAAUUCUUUAAUUCACAACAAAAAAUUCAGGUUAGAAAUUUAAAAAGUCGAAACUUAUAGUUGAUUAUAACAACAACAAAGAAAAUCAAACACAAAAAUAAUAUAUAUUGUCAUAUUAAUGUAUAGAAGAUGUUAAAUAGGUUUGAAUCUAAUCUCAAAAGGUAGCUCAAAGGAUAAGGGGACUGAAAUAUAUUUAUACAUUCAACAACCUGGGAACCUGAACAACAAAAUACAAACAACUUCAAAACCAACUUCAACAUCCACCCUCAUAUCUGGCAUAUAACUGAGUCCAAUUCUAACAUCGCAAUCCUUAACCCAAUAUGAUACCAUAUUAACAUAGAUAAUCUUACAUAACAUUUGAAAAGGAAUAAGAGAAUAAUCCAUGGAAGUUAGAGUUUCAAACACAUAACAACAAAGUAUAAAUGCAUUGUCUUACGAUAAGAAUAUACUCCAUCUAUUUUACAUGAGAAGUGUUAUUUGAACAACCAAUUUCGUGACUACUUAUUUUACAACCAUAAUUUACAAAGAAAAAGUAGUAUUGGCACAAAAAUCAUAGCAAUAAAGUGAUAAAGAAAAAAAUAAUUUGAGUAUGAUAUAGAAAGUUGUUACAAAAGUUGUCAUCAAAUGGAUGUUCAAUUAUCAUUUCUCAUUUCACAUUGGUUAAUGUUUAAGAUUUGUGUACAUAUAUACGUAAAAGAAGUUAAUAGUGUUUGAAGAUUAAAAUAUAACGAAUUGAUUAUUUGGUUCUCAAUUUCUUUUUUCAUAAAUUGUUUUAAGAAUUUUUAAUUAACUUAACUAAGAAUAUAGUUAAUUUUUUUUUAUUAAUUGUACAUUAAUCGAUUUCUAAAACAUCUAUGGUCUUACUCAUACAACCAAGUAUUUCCUCUCAAAAAACAAGACCAAGUAUUUUUUGCGUCAUUUUGUAGAAGACAAUCAAAGCAUAUAUAUUAUUUUGAAUCGCAGGUCCUACAGCUUUAAGGUAGGGUUGCUCUGUUUCCUUUUAGUUCCUGGUUAAAUUGAUAUUUUCAUUUAAAACAAAAAUAAUAUUUCAAUUCCUCCCCAAAACUAAUAAAUUUGCGGCUCAAAGCCUCCACAAUUGUAGUGGACAAGGCAGCUAGCCAAUGUCUGUCAAUAAAAAUACUAAUAGCUGAAUUAUUAUACUAUACAUUUCAAUUUUUAGUAGAUUCUUAAAAAAAAAAAAAAAAGUUAGUAGAUCAUUAGCAAAUAAAAAACUAUUGCUGUAUAUAUAGUGGCAUAAUCAUUGCUUCUUCUUUUUUGUGUUUCAAUGAAACAGCCAAAAUACUUAAUAAUAUUAAAAAAUAAUUGUCCAUCCAUGCAUAAUUCAAUUGACAGAGACAUUGAAAUAUAGUAAGGUCAGAGUUUGAGUCUCAUAUUUCGCACUUAUUUGUCUUAAAUAGUGAGUUUAUAGUCACUAAAUUUCUUGACAAAAAAUAUAUUGCAAAAAUACUAUUACAACACAUAGGCAUUUGAUUAAUGGUUUCCACUUCUUCAAUUUGCGAUGAAUGAUUUCCGUAACUAAGUUAUUUGAUUAAUUGUUUUUUGAAAUAUGUAAUCUAUAAAAGAUAUAUUGGAGUUCAUAAAUAAAAAUAAAACAUAAAGUAGUAAAAUACUUCCCUUCUUCACAUUCUCUUGAUUUAUCCUAUUUAUUGAAAAUAAAACAUAAAGUUGUAAAAUACUUCUAAAAACAUAAAUAAAAAUACUAAUUUAUUUAAUAAACCAUAACAAUAAAAUGGGUAAAUACACAUCUUAUCAUCCUUACCCUAAUGUAUUUGAUUGUUCCUUCCUCGCUUGACUUAUAUAUAACUUGAAAAUCUUUGAAUUUGAGUGAAAACUAAAGCAUAUGACAAAUAUGUGGAAGGAAGUUGGUUUAUAAUAAAGAUCACAUAUAUCACUUACUCAAUAAAUCUAAUAAAUAAAUUUUUUAUUUUUAAUUGUGAGCGAAAGAUGCACAUUCUUGAUUUAUUUAUUUAUUUUUGGAAUUUUAGAUCCUCUUUAGUGUAACUUCUCCUGAUAUUGGUCUUGCCAUCUUCCCAUCCAUUCAUCUAUGUUUUUUUCUCUCUCUUCUCAACCAAUUUAUUCUUACUUUUUAAUUUUCAUUUUUUUCUCAAUUGUGCACAAGAGAGAUAGCAGAGUAUAAUUUGCAAGAUACAUACGAUUCCCUUUUCUUGCCACGUUCGUUCAAUAGCUAAUUUGAAAAUAUUUUGUAACUGCGCCAUGCAUGGUCGGUUAUUCUAUAGUGCACCAUCAUUUAAUUGGAGUUAAAGACGUCCAUUUAUAUCAACUUAUGUGUUUUUGUGUAUUUUUGUAUAUAUACUGAUAUAACCAACAUAAGCUAAAGACUUGGCAAUGUUGUGCAAUUGAUGAAGCAUAUUGUUCAAUUCUCUUCUUAAAAUGAUUUUUAAAUGAAGUGUUUAGGUCUUUUGUUUUUGGUAUGCGCAAUUGCUUUAAGGUUUUGGGUGAAAAUGUUAUGAUCAACUCAUUUAUACGAUUGUCCUAAGUUUAAUGUAGAUGAUCAUUCGGGCUCCUCUUGUAACUCAACAUUGGUAUCAGAGCCGGGGUUCUUCGAUCUUCUCCUUGUGUCGAAAGUCUUCAUGAUAAGGUGUCUAGACGGCGUGUUCAGUUGUAUACAGUUAAGAACAUUACUAAGUUAUAAGUCUCACAUUGCUUAGAAAAGUGGUGGCCUUAAGGUUUUCUGAUAAAAAUGUUGUGUCAAACUCACUUGGGUGGUUGCUUUGAGCCAAAUGUAGAUGAUAGCCGGGCACCCCUCGUAACCCAAUACAAGAGGGUUGCGGAAUCCUCGUCGCGUUUCUCGGUGGAUCGGUGCCUUUCUAGUUCUUCUUGAAUUGGACCUUUUGUUGGGACGGUUGCGGUUGUUUUUGCUUGUGUUUGUAUUUUGUGUUAGGACUUGUUUAUUUUGUAUUAGUUUUCUUUCCUAUGUGGUUUCUCUCCGUCGUUCUAUGCAUGGUUUUCCACCCGGCUCUUUUGGUUGUGACCUCUUUUUUUUUGGUUCUGCUUCCCUUGUAAUGGGUUGAAGUACAUUUUGUAUUUCCUUUGUUUUUUCUUCUUCUUCUUCUUCUUAUAUAUGUCAUUUAUCAUUAAAAGAAAAAACAUCUUGCAAUAUUUGUGUAUGUACGAAUAUAUCUUACUAGUUUUUUUUUUUUUGAAGGGAAUCUUACUAGUUUUAUUGAAAGUAGAAGUCUGGUAAUUUGAUUAUCAUGUGAAUAACCUUGAGUUCAUAUUAAUCGAGUGACAAUUUCAAUCUUCCAACAUAUGUUUUGAAAGUGUCAACUAAAAUUCUGAACCAUAAAUGUCAUGCUCCAAAAUUCUACUUGAAGAGUUAUAGGUCAACUCAUAUAAACGUCCGAGAAUCAUGUAUGAUCAUGAAGACAUAGUCGACACAAAAGUUACGUUGAUUAUUAUGAUAUAUUUGAAGCCAAUAAUGGAAUUAUAUAACUAAUCUUUUAUCGUGUUCAAGACUUGGCAAUAAUUUAGUCUUUACUUACUAUCUUUCUGUUAGGAUUAGAAUUUCAAAAAGGAAUGACCCAGAUCGGGUUGUUCUCACCUAUAGUAGUGGUCCCUAACACCUCAAUUAAUAUACAUAAGAGUGGUUGAGUUUGAGACAGGCUUGAAGAAGCAAACAAAUGGGGUGACUUAUGGAUCAACCGGCAUUGACUCCUUCACCACCUUUCAUUUUUUUAAAAAUUGGAAUAACCUAAUUAGGGUGUAAUUAAGUAUUUUACAAACCAAUUCUGAGUGAAAUUGAACUUAGAUUCUUUAAACAAGAUUUCAUAUUUGAGUCUUAUGAAUAAAAAAAGAGAAAUGUUAACUAAGCGGCAUUAAUUAAGGACCUUAAAUAGUAACUUUUUAUGAAAGUUUGUUGUUUUUGUAAUUUGAAAAUUACGACAGAGCUUUGAAACUAUUACCGGGGUGAGUCACGACCAGGUCGCUUUCUUUAAGACGUUUCGCGGCACUACCUAAGUUGUGCAAGGUAGACUAGCAACCGCGCCGUCUCCAGGAUAAAACAGCACAGAUUCUAACUGUACGAUUAAAGGCUGCACUGCCAGAAAUCGCUCGAGAAUAACACCUCAAUAUGGUUUCGAAAAACCACUCUAAUAUGGUUCGCAGACCACUCGAGAAACCAAAGAAGGAGGAAGAAAAGAACGGUUCGUCAACACAAACCGAUGGAGAUGAGGGGGAGAAAACCAGAGAAGAGGAUUCGAUUCUCGGUUUUGGAGUGAAGAAUCCCAUUCCCGAGCUCUCUAUUUAUAGAGGGGAUUUGACCUCGUUUUCUCCGCCGACCCGGUUCGCGACCCGCCAAACUUAGCCCACGACCCAGUAAACGGUAACCCACGACGCGGAAACGUGGAGCUGAAGCUUACGCAUGUGGAAAACGUGUGAGACUUGGUCCUCCGCGUGCAGGAAUCUCGGAGCAGCAAAUAACGCGCGCGUCUUAUAUAUAAUUUUUGGCAAGCGCUCACUCCGUUCACAAAAGUGGGUACCCCAAGGGCACACCCUUGGAAGUGAUCACACAUAUAUAAACACUACUAGAGUGUGUGAUCUACCCAAUGUGGGACAUAAAAUUUUCAAUUCACACUUUACACUAGUUUUUCCAUCCUUGUGUUUACAUUCCAAAGGCUUCACAUAACAACUAGUAUACUCCAAGUUUUUGCCAAUAUACACUAGUGUUCCAACAAAGUUUGUGUAAUUAACGCAUUAGAAAUUGAAAACUUUAACUUUUUUUAAAUAAUAAUUACUUAAUUUAUAAUUAGAAUGAUUAAAAAGAGUUUGGAAGCACUCGUUAACAAGACCCAUAAAAAAAUGUGAUAGAAGGGGGGACACAUGUCUAUUAUGGAAUAUGGAUGAUCAAUUAGAUUUAAAGACCGUUAACCAAAAAAAAAAUAUUACUUCUCCUAAAAAAAAUAUUAACUUAAUUUGGCAAUCAAUUAAGGAUAUAAUUAAAGACUGACCAGUCGAAUUAAAGAAAGCCAAAACACAAGAUGAUAAAACAUAAUUUGUAUGAUCAAGGAGGACAAUAUGUUUUCUUAACCUUUUCCUUUUUUCUUUAUAUUUUAUUUCAUGUAGUUAUAUAAAUUUUAUCACCUUAUUACUUUAAUUGCAUGGAACAUGUAUAAAGUUAUUAUUACUUUAAUUCACAUAAGGGGCCUGUGUCAUGACAUAAUAAAUUGUAGUAUCAAUUUAGAGAUUGCACGAUAAUCAUAAGAUAACUAUGUAUAUGUAAAGAUUAGUAAAAAAAGAAAAGUUAAAUAAAAUUUAGGAAUUUUUAAAAAAAUAAAAUAAAGAAAGUUUAGAUGAGUUGGAUUUAGGCUCAACAAAGCUAAAUCAUCAAGAUUCAAAGAACGUUAACAGAGGAAUUUGUAGAUUAUACAUGUAUAUAUAUAAAUUUCUGAUGGUGCCACAAUUGAGAUUUUUACAUCAACAAUAUGAAUUGAACUCACGACUGAACUAACCCCUUAGCAAUUGCAUAAACCUAUGUUUUUUAAAUUUUUGCGAAUUAUUAGAAGGAAAACUUUAAAUCCAUAUUUUAAAAAGAAAGCUGCAUUAUUAACUUUUAUUUAUCGUAUUUUAAAGAUUGGGGAUGACAAUGUAGCCGGCUGACAGAAGAGCAGAUAAUAAUAUAAUGGAAAUGGAAGACAAAGUCAAUUUACAAAACAAAAAUGCAAUCAAGGGUGGUGGAGCCAAUUCAGUUCUGCGUGAGGGACCUUAUGUACGUUUGAUCAAUAAUCUAGUUAUCUAUCAUUGUAAAGCAUUUAAGGCAUGUCUGUUAUGUUGUAUAUCCAUGGAUACUCACACAAGUUUCUCAUCAAAUAUUGAAUAGUUGAAAGGAAAAGAGUAGAGAGUUAGUAUAAAUAUAAAGAGUUAUAUUAAGCGUAUGUUUGAUUCUGCAUCAUAAUGAUUAAAAGUGAGUGUUUGGAUACGUUUGUGUGAAAAUGAAUUAAAUUAUAAAUUUGUAUGUAAAAAACAAUUUUGAUUCAAAAGCAAUAAAUACCUGUAAAAAAGAAGUCACAAAUCUUAUCUUCAAUUAGAAUCAAUUAUAAAGAUAAGAUCGCGAUUCUACGAAAAAAUAAUUAAACAUGUCAUAAUUAAUUAUACACCUACAAGAUCAAUCUUAGCAACUCUAAAAGAAGAAUCAUACAUAGACUAGUCUUUUUUUUUGUAACAAAAAAAAAAGACUAGUCUUUUCACCUCAACAACCGUAAUCUUUGUUGGUGUAGAUAGUUGUGUUUUUUGAGAGUUUGCAAUUUUAUUUUAUUUUUGCAAGAAUUUUAAUUGAUAGGGUUUGCAAUUUUCUGUAUGUAAAAAUUACGCACUAAAUAAUAAAUUUUAUUCUGACUUGCUUUUUGGUUAUUUUUGUUUCUCAUGUGUAGACAUUUUCUAGAUGCUUUUCAACAACUUGAAUUAGAGCAAAUGUUCCGAUAAAGGGAGGAAUAAAAGUUGCAUUGCACCAUUCAUUUAAAUUGAGAUUAAUUAUCAUCUUAUUCGUGUAUUUUCUUAUAUAAUUUUAUGGUUACAUUGAAGUUAUAAGUUUCUUUGUUUGUUUUAUGAACCUCUCCUCAUAACAACGCACAAUCCAAGAUUAUUUAGUCCAACAAGAUCUUGAUUGUUCUCUAAAAAAAAAACAAGUGAGAUGAAAGAAUCAUAGUGGAGUAUAAUAAAAAAAUGUUAAAUAUGUUAUUGGUCCCUAUAAAUAUACCAACUUUUUGUUUUAGUCUCUCUAAAAUUUUCCUUCAACUUUUAGUCCCUAACAAAUUUUCCAUCUUCACUUUUGGUUCCUCUUUUAAAGUAAACUCAUAUGUAGAAUUCAUAUUUUUGAAUCAAAUUUUCCAGAAAAAUUCAUAAUAUUAUAAGAAUCUCUUCAAAAAAAAAAAAAGAAUUUUUUAACAAAACAUGAAUUUAAUAUGAAUUUUUACAUUAUUUAUGGUUAAAAAUUCAUUUCUGUACAAUUUCAUUAAAAAAUACUAAAAUUUACUUUGAAGGACCAAAAGUAGUGACUCAAAAUUUUAUAGGGACUAAAAAUUGAAGAAAAAUUUUAGAGGGACUAAAACGAAAAGUUUGUAUAUUUAUAGGGACCAAAAACAUAUUUAACCUUAAAAAAAUUACAAAAAGAAACUUCUCUAGAGAAGUUGUGGGAUUUGUUAAAAUUCAAAUUUGUGUCAACAACCAUUCAAUUAUUUUCGCAAUUAAACUUAUGAAUUUACAUCACAUAUUUAAAUCUAUUGUUAUCUAAGAGCAUGUUUGGCCCUCCUUAUUUUCUACUUAUUUUUUAUUUUUAAGGAGAAGUAGGGCCAAACACAAUUUUAAAAAAGCUCUUAUCAAAAGAAGUCUCUUAAUUGUAUAGAAGAAUAUUAUGUAGAAGUGACUUUUCAAAUAAGUUGUAGAAACGAACUUUACAACAAUUUACACGGAGGUUAGGCAACGGUGGUUCACCCAUCGAUUUCCACAUGGGACACUUUUUAUUUUAUUUUAUUAUUUCUUGUGUAAAUCACCCACACCAGAUUCCUUUUAUUUAUUUUAUUUUGUUGAAAGUUCUUCUUUUUUUUAACAUUUUGGUUACGUUCUUUUAUUUUUUGUUUACCUACAUAUUUACAAUAUUUUUUUGUACGUAAAUAUAUAGAGAUAAAAUAUUAAUGAUAGGUAGUUUGACAGUGUUUAAAAAAAAGGUAGUUUGACAGUAUAUUUUUAUGAUAAAUAUAAUAUAUAGAGAUAAUAUAAUAUGAUAAAUAAUAUUUUUAUAAAAAUAAAAAGUCCUAAGAGUAGAAAAACAAAUGACUCACUAUUGAUCAAAUGAAUUGGUUUUUUCUUUUGAAAGGAAAUGAAUUGGUUAAAAUACUUUUUUUUUUAACAAAUGGUUAAAAUACUUUUAGGAUUAUAAUUUUAUAUAUUUAGAUUUAUUUAUGAAUGUUGUUCUUAUUUAGUAUUAAUUUAAUUAUAUGUACUCAAUUAAAACAUUAGUUUGAUAUUAAGAAAAUGGAUUUUAUUUUAUUUAUGAUAAUUUAUAGUAAAAUCUCAGCUCUUUUAGAAAUAUUUACCAAACAGUUUUUAACUUAAAAGUAUUAAUAAAAUUAAAAAAAAAAAACAAAUAACAAACAACUUUAACUUUCACUUUUAAGUUCUAAUUUUUAACUUUAUUCUUAAAGUAACUUUUAGACCUCGAAAAAGUAGGCCAAACGCACCCUAAGUCAAACUCUCUAAUAUUUUGUUAAAUAUUAAAAUGAAGUUUAUUCUCGUUGAUUUAUUAAUUCAUUAGUGUAUUGAAACACAAAUGAGAUUACUCGUUUAUCUACAUUAAUAUGAAAUAGACUUUUUAACAGACUAACAAAUUAUACGACAGCUAAAAGGUCAAAUCUAUAUAAUAUAUCUAUGAAAGGUUAUAAUUCAAAUUUAGAUAUAAACUUUUUGACAUACAAAACUUAAUUAGGUCAUAUAAAGACGAACUCGGUUGAGUUUAUUCCCACCUUUAGUUGUGGUCAAAUGUUUUUUUUUUUACUAGCGUAAAUGUGCACGGAUGCUCGUUAUAGCUUUAGAGGAAAAAUCGGCUUCAUGCGUUUCUCUAUUUUUAUUCUUUUUUAUUUAGGAGAAUGAUUCCCUGUUCAUAAUUCCUUGACUUUCUCAAAAUUAAGACAUCUAUCAGACUAAUAAUAAAAUCAACUUUUGAUGCAUAGAACUUCACACACCCGGUAAGCUGUCACAAUAGAAAGAACUAAUGUAAUAAUUUGAUUUGAUAAAUAGGACUUCACGUGUUUUUACGCUCAUUCCGUCCUAAAUUAAAUGAUAUUUUGGUAAUUUUACAGAAAUUAAUAAUUUUCAUUAAUGCUAUAUGGGAAAGAGAAAACAUAAAUAAUUUUAUAAAAUUAUCUUUCAUUAACGGUGCAAGAAAGAUAAAUUAAAGAAUAGAAAAAAGUGAAAAUAAUAAAUAGUUGAAAGUAUAAUCUAAAAAGUAAUAUUUAAUGUUGCAUUGAUAUUAUAAAUCAACAUAUAAUUUAUGAUAAAUAUUUUUGACAAAACGACAUAUAAUUAGAUAUGGAGGAAAUAAUAAAUAGUUUCAGCCAUUAAUUUACGACCAAAUAGCCCCGAUUAUAUAUAUUCACAAAUUUAGGAUUGAAUUAUUAUGUAUCGUAAACAAAAAAAUAAUUUUACACACGCAUGCAUUUAAAUGUUCAAAACACAUUAGUUGUUAAAUUCAUUAAUCGACAUAAUAAAACUUUAUUAAAUGGAUGUGUAAAAUAGUGUUACAUUGUUAGUGUAUAGAAAUUAAACUCUUAAAUCUAUUAGUGAAGUAUGAUGAAACAAAAAUUUAGAGGUUGUUUUUUCAUAAAUAUUUGCUGAUUGAAUUGGAUGAAUUAAAUUUUGUCAUACAAUAAUGAACAAUAUAAUAUUCAAAAAUCAAAAGAAACGAUAAGAGAAACGACAAAAUAACAAAACAGUGACGAAUGGGUUGAUAUUAACCAGAUGCAGUUUAUAUGGACAAGAUAAGGAGCAAAUUUAUAAGGGUGUUCCCGGAAUAGAAUAUUCAAACCGCAAAGAUAGAAUUUAUCAACAAAAAAGAAAAAACCUUAAACUCAAAGAAAGAAGAAUUAUAAGAAAAGGAAAUAGGAUGCUUCCUAGUAGCAUCAUCGUAGCGCCACAGUAGAAAGACGCACACUCACUCAUUAUUCAUUCACAUUUCUUUUCUCUAUAUAUACCCUUUUUCUACUCAACUUAGACAAACACCAUCUUCUCUUUUCUCUUCUCUUCUCUUCUCUUCUCUCUUCAUAAUAAUUCAGCAACUUUUUACUUUUUCUAAUAAAAACAAUUUCAAUUCAAGUAACAAAUACUCAUGGCUAAUUUUGAAGAAGCUUCAGCUCUAAAACGCAUCAAAAUGCAUCUUCUUGGUGAAUUUUCUCCACUUCCAUCUCCUAUUUCAACACCUUGCUUUGAUUUUGAUUUUGAUUUUGAAUUUCAAACAAUCCCAAACAUAUCUCAAUCUGAAUCAAACUCUUCCACUUCUGAUUCAUCAAUCUCUUUGGAUCAUUAUUUAACUAACCUCCUUGAAACAGAUACACAAAUUCCUCUGUUUGAAUUUGACACAAAACCUCAAUUAAUGGAACAUGAGAGCCCUAAAGCUCUAACAUCAUCUCAUCAUGUUAAUCAACCUCAACGAACAGUAGAGAAGAAGCCUAAACUGAGCCGAAAACCAUCGCUGGAAAUCGCUCUACCGAAGAAGACUGAGUGGAUCCAAUUCGGUAAACCUGAUCCAAAACCGGAGGUGGUUGUUCAGAAACCGGAAGUUGCUGAGAAACAACACUACAGAGGUGUUAGACAAAGACCAUGGGGAAAAUUCGCCGCGGAGAUCCGUGACCCGAACAAAAGAGGUUCAAGAGUUUGGCUUGGAACCUUUGAAACUGCUAUCGAAGCAGCUAAAGCCUACGAUUCAGCUGCUUUCAGGCUGCGUGGCUCCAAAGCGAUUCUCAACUUUCCACUUGAAGUCAACGCAGUCGCAGCAUCGGCGGAAACCACCGUGGAAGGCAAUAAGAAACGGUGCCGUGAAGAAGAAGAAGAAGAAGAGGAAGAGGUGGUAGAAGUAAAACCGGUGGUGAAAAAGGAAAAAAUAACGGAAUAUGAUAUGAACUGUUUUAAAGAGAUGCCGUUAACGCCGUCUUUUUGGACUGGUUUAUGGGACGGUGAUGUCAAGGGUUUGGUCAGCGUUCCACCGCUGUCGCCGUUACCUUCCUUUUGUUUGUCACCUUUAGUUGUUGUGUGAAAUUUCUAUUCUAAGGUUCCUUGCAUCCUGAUAAAUUAGAGAUGUGAAUUUGUACAAAUUCAUGAAAUGAUUUCAUUUAUUCACUAAAUGUUUCUUUGGAUAUACUUGACUAUUUUAUAUUUUUAUUUUUAGAUUGCUAGUAUCGAAAAAGAGUUGAGACAAAGAGUUUAAAUUCUAAAUAAAAUUGUUAGGAUGCCUUUUAUUAGCAAAAUAAUAAGUAUCAGACGGAACAUGCUUAAGAAAAAAGUAUUAGGUAGAACAGUGUUAGACAAAACAGAAUAAUACAAGUUAAACAUAAAAUUGAAUAACAAAUAUAGAGAUUAUAUUUUUAUUUUUAAGAAAUAAAAAUGGAUUUAGUGAGGAACAUGGAUUCAUGUAUUUAUUCAAUCCGUUGCUACGUGUUUUGUUCGGUCUCGUGAUCAAUUUCUAACUCAAACACAAUAAAAAUUUGUCUGGUAAAUCAUAUGUUUUUAGUCAAUUAAAUGCACCCUUAAUGAAUUGAAUUUGUACAAAGCUGUGAGUAUUUUCAUGAAUUUUAUCACAAAGUCUCUUUGUCUUAGGAUUGUUGGAUAAGUCUAAAUGACAUAAUCCUAAUCAAGCUAAGCUCUAAGCCUUAAUCUUAUGUAACCCUAAUUUCUUAUCUAAAUUCACCGCUUUAACAUGAAUCAACCAUUAUCAAACUGUGGAAACGAAAAUGGAGGGUUUGAUAAUUGUUUAUCCAUCAUCUCAAAUAUCAAUUCAUAAAACGAAAGUGGAGCUUUGAUAUUCGAACAAGUGAAUUUAGACAAGGAUUGCAAAGGCAGCGAAAUAGUCUUUGCAAUCUUUGAGAUAUAUAGUUUCGAUCUUCAAGGGAACUAAUAAUGAUCAAGUCAGCGAAAUAGGUUUGGUUGUUAGAGGAACCAAAGUCUAAUAGUAAUCAAGUCAGCGAAAUAGGCUUGGUUGCUAGAGGAACAAAAGAGAAACUGUCUUGAGAAAUUAGGUCUAACAUAAAGUUAUAAGCUUAUAGUUUGGUUUGCGAAGGACUUGUUAUUUAGAUGAACCAAUGAUCCCAAGGCUCCUUUUAUAUUAUUAUCUUUCAAUCGUUGAAAACCCCAACUUACAACUUGUUUCUCCUCUAAUCACCAUCAAAGGUUAAUUGAAUUAAACUACUCCCUGUCGGAACGAUACUCUUUUCAUACUACUUCGGUAAGACUGUGCACUUGCGGUUUUAUCUCAUCAGAAAUCACAUAAAAUCUUCUUUGUCGAUGUAUGCAGGAACAAGAAAAUUCAAUAGCAGUAACAAGAUGAGAGAGAUGAAGGGAAGUGAAAUAUAUGGUAGAGAGUUUUAUGUGUUGAUGAAAAUGAUUUGAUUUUGAUGAUGAGAAUUUUAUUUUAUUUUAUCUUUUGAUUUUUUUCUGGGUUAUAUGAAAAUUGACUAAGGAGUAUGAAUGUGUUGAUGAAGGAAUGUGUUGAUGAAGGAAAAAGAAGAAAUAAGAAGAAGAAAAAUUAGGUGUUGAUAGUUCAUCGUAAGAUACAACAUACUUAUAUGAUCAAACGGUUCUCUUUUUGAAAAAAAUAUCGAAUGGUUAAAAUUAAAUGAAUUUAUAAGGUUUAUGGUGGACCACCUUAGACAUUUGAUGUUAAAAAUUAAUGGAGAGGAUCAAAACGGUAAACGAAAAAAUAUUUAUGAGACCAAUUGAAAUAUUUUAUAGUCAAGGGACCAAAGUAAAAACCAAAAGUAAGUUAAAGGACUAAAUUAUGAAUUAUCUAUAACCGACUGUGUCAUAAAACCUACUACUAUAGAAAUUUUUGUUGCUUCUAUUUUCCUCUAUUCCCCUUUAAACUUAUCUCCCAAUCAAAUUCUUAAGGAGUGACACACCACCUCUAUCGUGCAGUACUUGUAAUAAUGUUGUAUAUUUUUAUUUUAUUUUGGAGUGGUUCGUUCAUUAUUGUUCUUGUAUAUAAGUAAAAUUGUGAAAAUAAGUAAAAGACAAACCUAUCGCUAUGACCCCUCAAAAAGAAAAGGCAAACCUAUGACAUCAACGCAAUUGCAUCGUGACGUGCAAUAAUAUAGUAAUGGAAAAAAAAAGUUAGGUAAAUCAAACGUAUGUCUUCCCUUAUUUUAAAAGUUUAUUAGAUCAAGCAAAUUCAAAUUAUAAUUACUCGUGAGCUUAAGUCAGUUGAUUAAAACAAUGCAUAAAAUAUACAAGAUUUAGAUUUAAACUCCGGUCACUACUAAAAAAAUCCAAAUUAUAAAUUUUUUCCUUUCAUUUUGAUACAUUAAUAAUUGGUUAGUUAUUUCAACGUAACCAAAAAAAAUUUCCUCUCAAUUUGCUUCACUACAUCCUGCUACCAUUUGAUUUUAAAUUUAGAUUUUUAUACCUCACUAAGCUUGCAGUAAAUAAUGCCCUCCCAUCAUCCCUUAUGAAACGCCAUUCAUAAUGCAUCUAGCAAAUCCUAAAAUCUAAUUUUUUUUCCUCCCAUUUUGAAGCAUUAGAUGAUUCGUUAGUUCUUUCUAUGGAACCAUUUUUUUUCUCUUUCAUUUUUACUUCAUUAUUGCAAUCAUUUUAUUUUGAAUUUUGAUUCCCCCGUUAUUUCACUUGCAAAAUAAAUAAUGUCCUUUACCCCCACCCUCCUCCUCCUCCUCCAAUAAAAAGCCAUUCAUAACGGCUCUCACAAAAUCAUUUUGUAUUUUACUUAGAUUUUUGUUUUUAAUAGGACCAAAUAGGUUUAUGUGAAGAAAUUUGAGAGAUUUUUGAGUCGAAACAACAACUGUUGAUUUAAAACUACUUUUAACUUAUUUUUCGCUUGUACAUGUUUCACAUAUUCUAUCUUUAUCAAACAAACAAAAAAUUGGAAGACCUCUUACUAACUCAAGCUGUGAUAUUUUUGAAAUCAAUUUCAUAUUUACAUAAUCGGCUCUUUUGUGUCAAAUUCAUUUAUCUUUUUCAAAUGACAUGAAAAAUGAUUCAGAUGUGAUGUGAUGUGGGUAACUCUCGAUCUUGGGUGAGUUAUCCUCGGCCUGCAUGGGCGUGGGUAACUCCCGAACCUCGUGAGCCACCCUUGGUCUGUACUAUGAUCCGAUGAGUUUUAGGUGUGUCUAUCGUAUGAUGUCGUCUUCUUAAAGACUCAGGUCGGAUCUGAGGGGAGCUAGAUUGGGCUUUAGGCCAGUUCGAAACAGUAGCCCCCCAGGCUAUAGGCUGAGGGAAUCAUAUUGUAGUUUGAUAUAAGCUCUCUAUUUGGAGUCUGUCUUAGAGGUCAGAGACUGCAUCUGUUGUUGUGACUUUGGGCUUUUACGAGCUUCGCCAGACUUUGGAGUUUCCUUGCGAGGUUUUCAGAAUUACCGAGACGUGGCUUAAUGUCGUCUAGUAUGGGGUCUCUCAUGUUUGCUCCACACUGAGCGUAUCAUUAUAAUACAUCACUAUAAAUACGGGUCUCUCUCACAUUUAUGAUCACUUCACCGACUCACUUUGCAACCUGCUAACAUCCAAACUUACUUGUGUAACGCCCUAGUUGUUAUUAAUUAUUUUUCAAUUUAUUUUAGAGUCUUUUGUAUGAUUUUAAUAUGAAUUAUGUUGAUUGGUGUGUGCUAUAUUUUAUUAUAUGAUUUAUUAUGAUAUUUAUUAAAAUAAUGUGAGAAUUAUUGUUAUUUUGAAAAUUGGGGAGUUAAUUAGAAUUUAAUUGAAUUUAGUGGGAAUAAAGUGUAAUUAAAGGGAGUUAUAGGGAGUUAGGAAAUAGAAAGGAAGUUAAGUUAAGAGUUAGAAAGACAGAAAACUGUCUGUACGUACAAUUGAACCUUUGGGAAGAAAACAGAGAAAACCAAGCCAAGGGGAGAACAAGAGCAAGAGGGGAUCGAUUUUUGCUGUAGCUUUGUUUGUGCAAUUGAAUUCAGGUAAGGGUGAGGUUUGCUUCAGUAGUGUAGAUGUUAAUCUCUGGUUUUGAAUUUAUCAGGUUUUGGUGAGAAUGGGAAAAGAUGGGUUUUUGAUUUUGAUUUCUAAAUUAGAAAUGUAUAGGAACCAUGUUAUUUUAGACUUAGUUGUGUUCUGGGCGAUUCUAGGAUUACAUAACAUUACUGUAACCUGUUUUGGGGUUUGGAUUGGGAAAAAUUGGGAUUUUUAAUGAAAAACUACAAAAUUCACGAUUCUGGAACUGUCACGACUGGCCCUGGCGAAGCCAUUUUCGCCAUUCCCUCGCCAUUGGUUCACCCUGGCGAAUGUGUCCAGAAAUUUUUCCCGAGAACACUGCCUUAGUUCGCCAUUCCAUCGCCUUUUGUUCGCCCUGGCGAAAGUGCCCAGGAGCUUUUCGUCUUACGCUCGCCAUGGCGAGUAGCCUUUUUGUUGAAUUUCGCCUGGCGAAAGUACCCAGAACUGAAUCAUAAUUUUUGGGUUUUGUAUACUCAGUUGUACGCAUUGUUUGGUUGAUUCUUUUGACUGUGCUAAUGGUUAUAUAUGACUAUAUUAUUUAUCGAGAGUAUGAUUAAAUGUUGAGUGAUGAUUUAUGUAUAUUUACACUUAAAUAAAUUAUACAAAUUGUUGGUGCUGUUCUGAAGUAUGUUGUGUUUGCUAAACCAUACAUGUCGUUUUAUUCCGGAGUCAUAUGAGAAUGUAUGCAUGGUCAAGUUGUAUGUAGAUAUACACAAGUGGGUCCAUUGCAUAUGCAUAACAGCGGGAAGACUCAUGUCCUGGAACACUAGUUGUUCACAGCGGUGAGGGCUUUGGUCAUGAUGAAUGCUUUAACCAUUCAAAAGUGGUGAGGGCUUCGGUCCAGUUUUGGUACCACAUGCAUAAUUGCAUUUAUUGAGGGGUCUUAGUGGUGUCGUUAUGUCAUGCAUGAGUCUUUGUUGUUGGUUGUAAUUGCCAUAUUGAUGAUGAUGAUGAUGUUGAUGAUGAAUAUAUAUCUAUGUAUAUAUUAUGAUGAAUUGAUUUUGAAGAUGAUGUAUUGAUGUUUAAUAGGGUGUUAGAUUCAAUUGAUGAUUUUAAUAUCUAUAUUUUAUUGUUGUAAAUCUCACCCCUUCUGCUUGAAAAUGUUGCCCUUCCUAUGGGUAACUUGCAGGUGAUUCUGAGUAGUAGGUGGCGGCUCAAUGUCUAGGACUCUGAUACGUCUGGGAUGGGGUCUUUAUGUUUAUGUUUAUUCUUAUGCAUCGAAUUUUGGAUUAAGCUGAUGUAGCUCUUUUGUUAUUGUUGAACAAACUUAAUUCUUUGGAUUAUGUUGAUGAUGAAUUUUAACGUUGAAAAUAUUCCGCUGCAAAUUGAUGUUGGUUUAUUAAAUAGUUUUAUUUUCUAUUUAAGAAAUUUUGAAAUGUAGUGUAGCAUGCCCGUUUGAUGAAUUACUCUGAUGAAUAUUUUGUAUUAAAUUACUUUUGGGUAACGGGGUGUUACAACUUGGACAUCAGAGUGCCUUUUGCAUGAACAUCUCCCCCUCUUCCUCGUUCAAUGACGAGGCUUACGACCAACCGUGGUGGACCAGAUCCUUAAUAAGAUCAAACUUUAUACUAAGAGGCUAGCUCAACUUGUUUAACCUAAACAAUUACAAUAGAAAAUUUAAAAACUAACCAUAUUUUAGUUAGACAUUUUUCUUCUACAAUUUUUUUCUUAAUAAUCUAAUCCAUUAUUUAAAAUUUAAAUUUUGAGACACGUAAAAUGAAUUAAAUUAAAUUUAUAUUUUAUAAUAUAAGCAUAUACAUUUAAAUACAAAAAAAAAAUGUGAAUAAAUGUGUCAUCUUUCGCUAUAAGUAAGUGUGUUUUUAAAAGUAUUUACAAAAACACAUGAUGAACAAAAUAGUAAUAUGCAUUAAUCAAAAGGACCGCCAUUUGUUUUUAUUUUUAUUUUUUUAAAGAAAAAGGACCGCCAUCUAAAGACAACAAAAUGGACAAGAUUUAGAAGUAGACAUGGUCACAUGGACAAAAUGAGGAGCAAACUACAAAGGUGUUCCCUAUCGUAGAAGAUUGAAAUUUCAAAUUGCAAAGAAAAGUAAUUAGGAUGCUUCCUAGUAGCAUCGUAGAACCACAGUUGAAAGUCGCACUCUCACUCAUUAAUUCAACAUUUUCCGCUCUAUAUAUAUCCUUUUUUCCACUCAAAUUAGACAACACACAAUCUCAUCCUCUCUUCUUAUCUUCUUCUUCUUCUUCUUCUUCAACAACUUUUUACUUCUUCCUAAUCAUUUUCUUUUAAAAACAAUUUCAAUUCAAGUAACAAAUACAAAUACUCAUGGCUAACUUUGAAGAAGUUUCAGCUCUUAAACGUAUCAAAUUCCAUCUUCUCGGUGAAUUUUCUCCACUUCCAUCUCCUAUUUCAACACCUUGCUUUGAUUUUGAUUUUGAUUUUGAAUUUCAAACCAACCAAACAGCAUCUCAAUCAGAAUCCAAUUCCUCCACUUCAAUCUCUAUGAAUCAAUAUUUCACUAACCUCCUUGAAACAGAUGCACAAAUUCCACUGUUUGAAUUUGACACAAAACCUCAAAUGAUGGAACAUGAGAGCCCUAAAGCUCUAACAUCAUCUCAUCCUUUUAGCCAAUCUCAACGAACCACAGAGAAGAAGCCUAAACUGGCUCGAAAACCCUCGCUAGAAAUCGCUCUACCGAAGAAAACUGAAUGGAUCCAAUUCAGUAAAC
RNAcentral lists this long non-coding RNA (46558 nucleotides) under Medicago truncatula (barrel medic). RNAcentral describes it as "long non-coding RNA (MTRU_LNC002313)". The stretch from base 45247 to 45333 matches the Rfam family "MIR2617 microRNA precursor family". Lineage: Eukaryota; Viridiplantae; Streptophyta; Magnoliopsida; Fabales; Fabaceae. The record is from RNAcentral.